RNAcentral lists this long non-coding RNA (74050 nucleotides) under Zea mays. RNAcentral describes it as "long non-coding RNA (ZMAY_LNC002145)". The record is from RNAcentral. Lineage: Eukaryota; Viridiplantae; Streptophyta; Magnoliopsida; Poales; Poaceae.
UCGCACAUAUUAUUGAGACCAACUAGCAACAUAGAAAGCACAAUAUUGUACCAAUAAUGGCAGCCAAAAUAUUUUGCCUCAUUAUGCUCCUUGGUCUUUCUGCAAGUGCUGCUACGGCGAGCAUUUUCCCGCAAUGCUCACAAGCUCCUAUAGCUUCCCUUCUUCCCCCAUACCUCUCACCAGCGAUGUCUUCAGUAUGUGAAAAUCCAAUUCUUCUACCCUACAGGAUCCAACAGGCAAUCGCAGCAGGCAUCUUACCUUUAUCACCCUUGUUCCUCCAACAAUCAUCAGCCCUAUUACAGCAGUUACCUUUGGUGCAUUUAUUGGCACAAAACAUCAGGGCACAACAACUACAACAACUCGUGCUAGCAAACCUUGCUGCCUACUCUCAGCAACAGCAGUUACCUUUGGUGCAUUUGUUGGCACAAAACAUCAGGGCACAACAACUACAACAACUCGUGCUAGCAAACCUUGCUGCCUACUCUCAGCAACAACAGUUUCUGCCAUUCAACCAACUAGCUGCAUUGAACUCUGCUGCUUAUUUGCAGCAACAACAACUACUACCAUUCAGCCAGCUAGCUGCUGCCUACCCCCGGCAAUUUCUUCCAUUCAACCAACUGGCAGCAUUGAACUCUCAUGCUUAUGUACAACAACAACAACUACUACCAUUCAGCCAGCUAGCUGCUGUGAGCCCUGCUGCCUUCUUGACACAGCAACAUUUGUUGCCGUUCUACCUGCACACUGCGCCUAACGUUGGCACCCUCUUACAACUGCAACAAUUGCUGCCAUUCGACCAACUUGCUUUGACAAACCCAGCAGUGUUCUACCAACAACCCAUCAUUGGUGGUGCCCUCUUUUAGAUUGCUUAUGAGUUAUAGUUCAAUAAUAAAGUUUUUUUUGCUGAUAUUUGUGGCUUCCCAGAAAUAAGAAAGUACAUUUCUAGAUUCUUAUGUGCUUCUAGUCUCCAAAUGUGGUUGAUAGUUAUUUUGCUCUAAGAUCGGCAGUAAUGAGGUAUAAAUACUUGUUGUCGUGUGCUACUCGGUUAAUUGAGCAUUAACACACAUAAACAUUACAAGGAUGGUAUAAUCUCCUAAAAUGUGUACAUUGUUAGGUGUAACCCUAUAGCCAUGCAGAAUGUGCUAUGUUAGGCAUGCCGAUGGAAACGUGUGACACAUACGUUUUGUUAACCUAUUGAUAUUAUAUGUGCCUUUUAUAUUACCAUAUUUUAUUAAAAUACUAAUAUUUAUUACUAGUAAGAUAUAACAUUCUAUCUAGCUUAAAAACUAACCAUAAAUAUUCCAUCAUAACUAGAUUUACCAAACUAAUAUACUAAAUAUACAUAAUAAAUACAAAAUUAACAAUACAAUAUCAAUAUUUAUGAGCUUAAUAAAUUUAAACAUUAUGGUUGGCCGACGAUAAUCAUACUGACUUUCCGUAAUUGCUUGAUUGUAAAUAUACUUAGACUAAUGCCUCUUUGUUCUACAUGGCAAAUAGGGACCACUCUAGGAGACUAGGAUGUUGCUUGAGACGAAGAUGUUAUCAUUGGUGUAGACUAAUUUCUAUCAGCCGCUGACUUCACUAUUGUAACCAUUAUCUCUUGGGUAAAUCAUAUACGAUUAUCUAGCCAAAGGCCCAGAUGAUAAAAACAAUUUUUAAUUGCUAUUUCAGGACAAAUGAAUUAGCAUGGUUCGAAGGAUUGCGACCUUCCCCCCAUGACUUUUAUCGUAUUGUGUUAGUCUAAUCGACAAAACCAAGAUUAGAUAUCAUCGAAGAAGUUGAUAAGCGAAUCUGUGACCACUAUCAGAAUCAGCUGCUUUGCCGAGUGUCUAAAACACUCGACAAAGCCUGAAAAACACUCGGCAAAGGAUUUGCCGAGUGUAACACUCAGCAAAGAAAGCUCGGCGAAGUAUACAUCGGCAACGACUUCUUUGCCGAGUACUUUUUAUCGGGCACUUGGCAAAGAAGCGUCAUUGUCACGACGAUAGGUAAUGCCGACGGAGUCUGUGACGAGUGUCACAGAGUGACGCUCAGCAAAGGCUCACUCUUUGCUGAGUGACCACUGUACAGACACUCGGCAAAGAAGCCCCCGUGGGUCCCUUUAUCAGGGCCUUUGCCGAGCGUAUUAGGUGGCACUCGGCAAAGGCUCCAUCUUUGGUGACUGCCCGCCAGACUAGCAAUCGACAAAGGGAUCAACAGCGGAUCCCUUUGUCAGUUCUUUUGUCGAGUGCUCUAGGAGGCACUCAAUAAAGCUUGUGUUGGGGGCCUUCUUCUUCCGAAGGUCCUCAAAAACGUGACUAACCAUAGGUUUUCAGUAUGACAUAGACUAUUAUAGGAAGCUUUGGCUUUGGGAUGAAGGCGUGUGAUAUGAGGAUACAGCCCAAAGGCAACAUGGAUGGACGUCGAAGCUAUGGCUAAAGGAGUUUCGGCUUGGCAUGUUAGCGAAGAUGAAGGACGAAACCGACCUAAGGGAGAAAAGACUAGUUAGUCCUUGAUAGUUUGCAUUAUGAUUAAGAGCAGAUAUCAGGGGCAUGCAUGUAAUCUUAUCCGGGCUGCGUCCCGUGCCUAUGAAUAGAUGAAUAGUAACACCGUACUGUUCACGCUGGAUUAUAAUCGCUCCUACGUCACUCUCGCGUCUUCACCUUUUGGUAAGCUGAAGGUAUCAAUGUAAUACAAAUAUUGAUGAUGUUUAUUCAUGUUUAUGAAAUGAGAAUAUAAAUAGCUUGCUGAUUCGUAAUCAUUAUUUAUAUUCUUUUGUAUUUCAUGUACCCUUAUUUAGAUGUGUUCACUGAGAUGAUGAAGGUAUGCCCUUCAUGACCUUCGUUCGGAAACCAUUAUAUCCAAAAGGAGAUAAUGCUUCGAAGGACGAAGGUCUCUAAUUAUUGACAAUCAUGUUGUCUUGUUCUUGAUGUAUAGCAUUUGGGAACAAGGACCAACAUUGGCGCCCACCUCCCGUGAACUCAAUCGACCACCUUCGGCAAGCAUCGACUUUCGUAAUGCCGCCGAAGAAGACAAUAGUGCCAGGGGCUGCCCUGCAGCCACUGGACACUAAUCAGGAAACGCUGCGAGAAGCUAGGAUCUAGAAGAGGAAGGCUACUAGCCCAACACCUCAGGAGGAGGAGCUAGAUCAGGAGAUCAGAGAUUUGGAGGCUAUCACCAGCAGGUACAAAGAAAAAGGGAAAAGAUGCUUCAGCUCGUCGAACUUCAGAGAAAGAUCGACAAAGCUGCUGAAGAAAUGCGUCACCUUACCCAGGAUGACCAAGACCGAAGGCCCCAACAUAGGGAGCUUCAUCAAGAAAGCCCAAUUAAUGACGAUGAGUGGUAUGGUGACUUUCAUCGUGGCAAUUUUGCUUUUGAUGAUGCUUCUCCCUUGGCAGCAGAAUUGCAGGCUACCCCGUGGCCGCCAUCAUACAAGCCACCUCAGCUCCCCAUGUAUGACGAGCACUCAGACCCGAAGCAACCAUAUCCUCAUAUGGGGGCAAUACUGCGGUCAUGGCAAAGUCCUUCGUCAUGGCAGUUAGAAGCGUGGCUCAAACAUGGUGCUCUUCUCUUCGGCCAGGGACAAUUACGUCGUGGCAAAAGCUAAAAUACAUACUGGUCACUAGCUUCUAGGGUUUCCAAUCGAAACCAGUUACUGUCCAAACUCUGUUCCAGUGCACACAGGACCAAGAAGAAUACCUCCAAGCGUAUGUCCGAAGGUUCCUGCGAUUGAGAGUUCAGGCGCCUACAGUGCCCAAUGAGAUUGUCAUUGAGGCCAUGAUCAAGGGGUUCAGACCAGGACCAACGGCGCAAUACUUUGCAAGGAAGCCACCACAAACCCUAGAGAAGCCGACGAUGAUUUUCGGCAAAGAAGGCAAGAAGCCUACAGAUACUCUGAGAUGGCCAGGGGCUUCGGAGGAAGAUUUCACCCUAGGCAUGUCAGGUCAAUCCAUAAUACCAGCUCAAGUGACGACAAGGGAAACCAUACCCAAAGGCAGCAACACAGCUCUCAGUCGUCAGGAGCACAACAAAGCUCUUUGAGGCCACCGGCUCCAAGAGGUAGAGGGGGGAGAAGCUUCGGAGGAAGAUAUGGAGAUCAGCCCAGUAAACAGUUUUGUUUGUUCUGCGGUGAAGAUAAGGGGCAUACCACAAGAACGUGCCAAGUUAUGAUUCAGAAGCAGAAAGAAAUUGCUGAAGCUGAAGCACGUUCGAAUCAGCCGAAGCAGGUUCUGCAUACUGCUUCGUGCUACUCUCCCUACGUCCCGGAGUAUGUAGACAAUCAACAGCCUACGACCUUGGUCGCUUCGGCAAGCCAUUCUCAAGCUUCCUGGGCCCAGUUGCCACCACCACCACCGCUAGCACAUGCUCUGGUCCGCAAUCAAUAGCCAGAAGGGCACCACCAUGCUUAGUAAUAGCGCGACCUUCGGGAGGAGUCCGAAGCUCGCACAGUCAACAACAUUGUGCCUAAGUCGAAGCACAUCUAUUAAAGGUGCCACGGUGAUUCAAUUAAAGAAUAUCUUACCCUAAUGUAUCUUAGUUUUUCCGCCAUUUUAUUUUCUUGCAUGAAAAACAAUUCACGAAGGAUUAAUUUCCAAUUUGAUGUAAUAAUACCGUGGUCGCACCAUCGAGUGUGGAGCGCAUCGCCUUAACAAUACUUCCGAAGCUACAAAGACGUUCCUAAGGGAGCGCGGAGUAAGUUCUGAAGCUACAAAGUUGUUCAUAAGGGAGCGCAGAGUAAGUUCCGAAGCUCAAAAGUCGUUCUUAAGUGAAUGCAGAGCCAAGAUGCCACCAAAAUAAAAGGUGAAGAAGCUCAAAAGUCAUUCCUAAGGGGAUGCAGAGCUUAAAUGCCACCGAAAUAGAAGGUGAAGAAGUUCCAAAGUCGUUCCUAAGGGGAUGCAGAGCUUAGCUCCAAAGAUGUUCCUAAGGGGAUGCAGAGCUGAAAUAUAACCUAAGUAAAAAGUGAAGAGACUCAAAAGUCGUUCCUAAGGGGAUGCAGAGUCUGGAUGCAUUUUCGAGUGGGUGUGUUUCUUCGGCAUAAACAUCAUGCUGUAUCAUAUCAUCACAUCAUUUCUCAUAGCAUUACAUCAUACAUCACAUCACAUCAGCAACAGAACUGUGGAGAAGCAAAGAUGCUUCUUUCAAAAUAUUUGAUGAAUGGAACAAUGGGCUGAAGCAGAAAGUGUACCUUCAACAGCUAUAAUUUUACAUACCAAGAAAAAUCUUCGUCGACAAACAAUAUUAUAUAACAGCUACGACAUAAGAAGGGGUGAUUUUUUAUUUGUGAAGCAUGAAAAGAAGGGAAGGUGUUUUUUCACCAAAGGCUAAAAAACAGGUAAGUACAUACAUUUCAUGCAUCACAAAGAAAUAUAUUACAUUAAUAUACAAACAAAUGUUCGAUGUUCGACUCAUACACGAAUAUUACAUUUCUUAGUACACAAGAAUUUAGUCUUCUUUCAAUAUUUUCUCGGUAGCUUCAUGUAGGAGUUUGUUGACAGCUUCAUCAACGGCUUCUUCGGCAAUCCUUAUCGUUUCUAAUGCCCCCCUCAUGGCCGGAUCGGCCUCGGGAUCAUAUGGCUCAGGCGGUGGUGAAAAAUCAGCUGUAAUAAAGAACAAGUUGUUAAUAUCAAAGCCAGAAACAAAUACUGAAGCUAAAAUUCAGUAAUAAUACCUAUACGCCUUGCGCGCUCAGCAACCUCUUGGCUCGCUUAGCUUAUUCUCGAGCAUCAUGGGAUUCUUUUUCAUUUGUCUUUAUAGCUUCAUCGGCUAUCUCACGGCCACCUUUCAUCCAAACAUUGGAAUAAAACUUCUCGCCCAUCAAAGUAGCUUCGGCCGAAGGCUCCUUCAUGUCGUCUAUGGAGAAGACGGCUUCCGCCUGGGCUGCAGUUUUAACAUGUUCACAGCCAGUUUUCUCCAAAACUGCUGCAACCCCUCGGGCACCGGCGAAGGCACAAAAAUCCUCGCGUUCGCUAAGUAUUUCCUCAAAAGCUUCAACUUCUUCGCAAAUCCAUUGAACGACUCCUUUUGGAUCGCCUCGAAUAAAUUUUUGCUCCGAUGAGUAUGCACCCACCUUUGCAAAACUGUCUUUCAGUUUCUUUGCAUAGUCCAUGGAUACUUCGUAGCAUUUCUCUCUGGAACCCCGAAGUUCUUCAACAUUCUUCUCAAGCCUGGAGCUUGUCCAUUCACUUAUAUCUUACUUUGCCUUAGCAAGUUCAAUAUUUUCGCUCAUUUCGGCAAGUUUUUUGUGAAGGUCUUCGACUUCGGCUUGGUGAGCUUCGGAUUGUGCAUUAAGUUUUGCUUCGUUGCUCUUCAGUUUAUCCACCAAGGAAAGCAGUAUUUUAUCUUUUUCAAGCGCCUCGUUCCUUAAUGUAAUAACUUAUGACCGAAGGUUCCCAAGGGCUAUUUGGCAGCUUUCAUCUUCUGCAUUCUUUUGUGCCCUUAAAGCCUUGCUUAGGAUUAAUGCCUACAAAAAAUGAAGGAUCAGCACACAACAAUAAGAAAAGAUACAAAAAGUAAUCUGCUUAUAAGCUAAAAUGUCCUCACCAUCAGACUGUUAUAAGCAAGGAUGUCUGCAAGGUCAUCUUUCGACAUUGCAGACAACCCAAGCUCUAGCUUCGGGAAACCUAUAUUUUUUGCCAUCUCCCGACAAACAAAUAUUUUCUUGUUGUCUGGAAGGCAAUACAAAAAAUCAUCUUCGUCAGUGCCAUUAAACAUGAGGGAUCCUGGGGGAUACUUCAGAUCCUUAGCAAAUUGCCUAGCUUCGGCAACCUGCUCCUCUGAUAGUUUUUCCCUACCGCGUGACACACUAUAAAUUCCGAUCCCUCAGUAGAAGCUUCAACGGCAAGGAAUUCAGAUUCUUUGCUGGUUCUCUCUUUUCCUAACGGUAACGGAGCUUUUUCAGCAUCCAAAGGUCCUUUUUCAGCAUCCUUUUCAAUAAGCUCUGCAGGCCCUAUUUCUGCGGGAACUGAGGGCCCAGCUUCAGCUUCAACCCAAGUUAUGAUAGCUUCGGCAGUUUCCUUUGUACUUUUCUUACCCAUGCUAGGUACUUCUGUAGAGGCAGGAGUUAGUACUUUUGUCGAUUCCAUGACAGCAUCCAGUACACUAGCCAUUCUCCUCCUUUUUGGAGUUAUCAAAGUAGUUUUUUGAAUCUUCGGCAAUUCUGCCUCUGGCCGUGAAAAAGUUUUUGGCUGCUCCGCUGCUAUCUUCAGAAUUGGCUCUUCGGCUGAUCCCAAUAUGGCUUCGGCAGUAGCGAGAUGAUUUUGCUCAGCUGCAGAAGAAGACCCUUCAACAGGCUUUGACACUUUGGCCGUCUCAGAGUGCCUGGGCCGGUGUGUCAAGACUUUGCCAUUUUUCCCUUCGGCGUGGCAGAGAUUGCCGAAGCAGUAGCCUUCCUUUUCUUUCCCUGCUUUCGCGAGGGAUAACAAUAGUCUGGGUACACAAAACCAAUUACAUCAAAAACCCUAUUUAAUCUCUUCUUGCCUCGUCCUCCGAAGGCCAAUGUCAUGGCAUCGUCUUCGGCCCUUGUGUAGGCCCCAAGCAAUUCGUCACUAGUAGCCUCAAUGCAAUCCAACCAGUCAUCGUUCGGCUCAUCGAACUGAUCUCUGUAUCUGAAGGUGUAUUUCAGAUAAACUAAACUAACUUGACUGGACCCGGCCGCAGCUUCCUUCGACAUCUCCCAGCCACUUCCAAGAGGCCACACUCUGUAAGCAAUAUGCUCCUAGACUAAGUCCCUAGUGCCAAUAUAAGUACAUAAAGUGUUAAAGUCCGUAUGGCAUGCUUGAAUAUCAUGUCCAUGGACAGUGGUUGGCCUCCUAAUGCCGAAGCGAGACCAGAUAGGGCAUUGAAUGAUCCCCUUUAUAUCUUCUCUUUCAACUAAGUUGUUCUUCACAUAAAACCACUCUUGCAUCCAGGCUCCUGGCCACCUCUUCCAAAAUGUUGGGACGGGAUAGCUCACACCAGAGCGAGGCAUGAAGCCGUAACAACGAAAAUUAUUAUGAUAUUGUUCUAUGCCAGUAGCCUUUGUCUCAUAGGACAGGUCAUGCAUGUUGCAGAAGCAUUUUGCAUUCGGCUCUAAACCCUGGCCCAAAUGAAAACUCCCAUUCUGAUGAUAUCUUCGGGGGUAAUUUGAUGAAGGUAAAUUUCAAAAGUCUUCAAAACUUCAACUAAAAAUUUGUUCAGGGAGAAUCGAAGCCCUGCUUUCAUAGAACUCCUGUAGACAACAACUUCGUCUGCUUCGGGCAUAGGGGCACUGCUAUCUCCUCUGGCCCUCAUGAUAGAAAUAUCGCGGAAGUAUCUUCCUUUCAUUGCAUCAAUCUGACUCUGUUUGAUGGUUGAUUUAGCAAAGAUGGUAUGACUCGGUCGCCAGGGCUGAUCUUCGACAUCUUCGUUUCCACUUUCUAAGUCAAAACUUUCACUAUCGCUGGAAUCUUCAGACAACCCAACCAACAUCUCAUUGGUGAUCUUCUUCAUAUUUGUCUUCUCCAUAGCUUCAUAAAACCCGGCCAAUGCAGGGUCAGCAAUCUUCUUCUCUUUAGCCAUUUAGACAACGAUUGCACGAUUGUCGAAGCUUAAAACUCAAUCAAAACUCGACAGAGCAAGAGAAUUCAGAAUGUCUAAAAUAGCGCAAGCAACUGAAAUAGCACAGCAAAUGCUGCCAAUGCGAGUUUCUAUUUAUAUGCCUCACGAUUUGGUGGGCCAUACAUGUCAGUGGCUUUCGCUAUUCUAGCGAAGGGAAGGUGUUUUUUCGGAUCUUCGGUUAAAGGCCUUCGUUCACGUCACAGUCUAAAUUUGUUACAAAGAAACAAAUUAAUACUACGAGGGGCUACUGUUGGGGGCCUUCCUUUUCCGAAGGUCCUCAAAAACGUGGCUAACCAUAUGUUUUCAGUAUGACAUAGACUAUUAUAGGAAGCUUCGGCUUUGGGAUGAAGGCGUGUGAUAUGAGGAUACAACCCGAAUGCAACAUGGAUGGACGUCGAAGCUAUGGCUAAAGGAGCUUCAGCUUGGCAUGUUAGCGAAGAUGAAGGACGAAACCGACCUAAGGGAGAAAAGACUACUUAGUCCUUGAUAGUUUGCAUUAUGAUUAAGAGUAGAUGUCAGGGGCAUGAAUGUAAUCUUAUCCGGGCUAUGUCCCGUGCCUAUAAAUAGAUGAGAAGUAACACCGUACUGUUCACGCUGGAUUGUAAUCGCUCCUACAUCACUCUCGCAUCUUCACCUUUUGGCAAGCCGAAGGUAUCAAUGUAAUACAAAUAUUGAUUAUGUUUAUUCAUGCUUAUGAAAUGAGAAUAUAAAUAGCUUGCUGAUUCAUAACCAUUAUUUAUAUUCUUUUGUAUUUCAUGUACCCUUAUUUAUAUGUGUUCACUGAGAUGAUGAAGGUAUGCCCUUCAUGACCUUCGUCCGGAAACCAUUAUAUCCAAAAGGAGAUAAUGCUUCGAAGGACGAAGGUCUCUAAUUAUUGACAAUCGUGUUGUCUUGUUCUUGAUGUAUAGCAUUUGGGAAUAAGGACCAAUAGCUUGCUUCUUUGCCGAGUGCCAAGGCCACAGCACUCGGCAAAGAGUCUUUACCGGUGCGCAGGUGUGCCUUCUUUGCCGAGUGCUAUGACAUUGACACUCGGCAAAGUAUCUCUUUGUCGAGUGUAACACUCGACAAAGUGACCAGAUUAUCCCUUUUUAUUUGUUUUUGCUAUUCCAUCCAAACAAAUAAAAGAUAUAUCGCAUAAUCAUCACAUAUACAUCAUAGAUAUCACAUAAUCAUCGCAUACAUAAUAGAGACUGCAUAUUUCACAAAAAACACAAAUCUCACAAGUUUUUCUCAAACAUGUCCAUGUUCAUACCAAGAUUCACUAACAUAAGUAUCACACAACUCUAAAACAUAAGUUUUUCACAAACAUAAGUUUAGGACAAGUUUAUCACACAAGCUAAGAGAAGAUCAUGAGCGAGGUGGGCGGCUGGACUGGUGCGGCGACGGGCUGGGCGAUCCACGAGGGUUGUUGGAUGCCGCCCUAGAUUGUCCCUGCACAGAGAAGAGAUUGCCUGUGUUAUACUAGAUAAAUAUACAUCAUGCAGGACUAGAAUUUUGAUACUCAUAGGAGUAUGGAACUGAGCAGGGUCAACUGGAGGGAACAACGGAGGUGGUGGAGCAAAACCCUGUGCGGUGCCAAGGCUCUGCAUGUACUGGAACAUCUCUGCCAUCCUCUGUUGAUUUUCCAUGUGGGCCUCCCGCUCCGCCAUCAUCCUCGCCUCCAUAUCCUACCGUUCCCUCCUCUCUUCUUCUAGCUAGGCAUAUAAUAUUUCAACCCAGUGUUAUAAUAACUCAAAGAGAAGGUAUAUAACUCAAGGAAAGACGAGUUACAGAAGCACUAACCUGGAGUUGUUGUAUCUCAUGAUGUGAGUUGUCCUGUCGAGGUCGUAUGGCUGGGCUUGAGCUCGUGGUCCUUGCUCGCACCUGAGACAGAGUGGGAGUGGACAACGAGUCGAUUGUCCCGUCGGCAAUCCAGUACCUCCCAUGCCUCUUGCCUCCUCUGACCCUCAUGAGAACAUCUCCGUCGAUUUCCUUGGUCCUCGGAUCGUAAUCUGGCCCAUGGACCUCAUGUGACAUGGCAGUGUACUCACUUAGGCGGUUGUAGACGGCGGAGUUGCUAUAUGCCUCGGGCCCGUCAUCCGGGUUGUAGGUGACAUCGGACGUCGCCUUUCCCUUGUGGGCCAUAGCAUAAACCGAGAAGAUGGAGCAUGGCUGGCCACCAUGUAACACCAAAUGCAAUAAAAUCAAUGAGAUAGUUAGAAAUAAUAUCUAAACCAGUGCUAUAUACCUAAAUAAAAAGAGGGCGUACCCAUGCUUCUACAUAUUUCCAGAGGUUGCGACUGCCUUGGUGGUGGGAGGGACCUUACAUCAUCAAAUGUCGUUCCAUGCUAGCGUUGUGCGCCUCGUCCCACUUAGGCGAGCACCACCUAUCCACCAUCUGCUCCUAGCACUGAGGAUGCGCGGCGCACCAAUAAGGAAUCAUCUACAAACUAAAACAAGUACAUUGCAUAUCAGAAGAUAAAAUUAAGCAAUUUUUUUCACGAAUAUUAAAGUGAUGUAUUUACCUGCAAGUAUUGGUCCCUAGUCAACGACAUGGUUCGGGCCUCUUGUUUGGUCACCUUCUCUCUAAGGACGGAGCCAUGGUAGAUGAUGAUGACCUAGAUUCGUGCAUCGUAGUGCAUGUCCACGACGAGCUUCUUACAGCUUGUGGUGGCCACCACAUUUGCCCUGGCCUCGUAUCCAGCCUCGCAUCUGAAGAAAUCCUACAUACAAAGGCGAUAUAUCCAUACAUUAUUUCAAGUAUGUGCAACAAAUGCGACAUAUUUUACAAUAUAGUAAGACUUACUCAUAGCUUUUGCUUCACCCGCUCUGCCAUGUUGUUAAAUUCCCUAUCGUCCUAGUCUACUGCAUCAGGGGUGACGACGUAGUGGUCGAAGGUGUAGGCAGUAGGUUGGGCCCACCACUCCAGCGUACUCAACCAGUCCAGGGAAGUGUUCCCUACACAUAAGGCCAAGGAUGCCAUUGGGUUGUGGUCGUGACUCCCUGCAUUCUCCACAACCUUUCAAGACCUGUCCAAGUGAUAAAUAAAAAGUAUUAGUUUAUAUUAUGAAUUUGAACACAUAAUAUGAACAAACAGUGAGAACAUAAAAUUACAUGUCUCUCCCCAUCCUUCUGAAUCAGCGACCGCCUAUCUCGAAGUAUGGGACGCUGAGGGAGACUCGUGGGACCUCGCUGGUAGACGUUCCUCGAAUCUGAAGCACCAGAACCUGAGGCGUCUUGCUGAGCGUCGUCGUCGUCCUACUGUGUCGCAUCGAUAACGACCUGCUGCUGGACGUCGUCAUCCUGUUGUGCCUUCUUCGCCUUCCUACGGGUGCUCCUCCUCCCCCUCCUUGUCCUCAUCCCACCGCCCACCAUAUUUGUCCAACAACCUGUAAUUAAGGGUAAGCAAAUAAGCACAUAUAAAAAAGUUUAUUUACAAAUAGGCGUGAAAUAAAAAAAAUAGCAUUACAUCGUUUAAAAAAAUCUUCAUAUGUGUCGGGGUUAGCCAGAUCAUAAGUGUCAUCAUCACAAUCAACCAUUUCAUAGUCAACACCAUCUGAAGGCGCAAGUUCUUCAUUAAUGUCAUUGCCUUCAAGUAAUUCUAAGUCAUUCUCAUUUUGCACCUCAUCAACAACCAUUUCAAUAUCUACUUCCAUUCCGAUAGCUUCGGUUAAGUCUAUCUCAAAUCACCCUUCUAGCCCAUAUUCUUGGAAGAACUCUCCAUCAUAUGUAUCCGGGUCUAAGUUAUAAUCUUCAUCAUUUGGAACAGGUAAUUUACCGUGCAGUGAUACCUUAUACACAACAUCCCAACCCAUCCAUGCCUCAUAUAGGAGAUGAAGAAUCAAAUGCUGCAUUGGAUUGAAGAAGUCGAGUGGAAAUAUCUUCUCAAGCUUACACAAAAACACGGGUGUCAAUCUUUCCAAGUCUGCAAUCACGGACCAAGAUAACUCUUUCACACAAAGCUGGCAGAAUAAAUAGCUGAACUUUGUAAGCGCUAGCCAUACAUGCUCAGGGACAUAGCCUCGAACCAUCGUCGGAAGAAUCUGUUCAAUCCAUAAGUGGAAGUCAUGACUCUUCAUCCCUAAGACUCACAGAGUAGAUAAGUUCACCCCCCUACUUAGGUUAGCUGCAUACCCAUCAGGAAACAUCAACAUCUUGAUCCACUAAAGUACUUCCUUCCUCUGGGCCCUACUUAGGACGAAAUCGGCCUUAGACCUUCUCCAUGUCUUUCCACCACUAGGCGGCUUCAUUUCUUGGUUUGGUCUAUCACAUAACGCUGUCAGAUCCACUCUUGUCUUUACAUUAUCCUUUGACUUAUCAGGAAUGUCCAUAAUUGUUGCCCAAAGUGCCUCGGCGACAUUCUUUUCAGUGUACAUCAAGUCAAUGUUGUGUGGAAGGAGUGGGUCAUCAUAAUAGGGGAGCCGAGUCAAGCCCGACUUAUGUGUCCACAUAUGCUGCUCACCAUAUCCCACAAAUACACCUUCUGGAUUGGCCACGAGCCCAUCUAUUUGUUGACGAAUUUCGGCACCAGUCAUCAUUGCAGGUGGUUGGUCUGUCACUACAACACCUUUCGUAAAGUUAUUGAUGUCUAGGCGGAAUGGAUGGUUAGGAGGGAGAAAUUGUUGAUGUUUAUCGAACAACGAAUAUUUGCCACCCUUUUUCAACCAAAUGAACUUAAGAGCUUCCUUACAAACUAGGCAUGGGAACUUACUGUGAACACAAUAGACACAGAAUAGCCCAUACGCCGGUAAGUCAUGCAUGGCGUACUAGUACCAAACAUGCAUUUUGAAGUUUUUCUUCGUAGCUCGGUUAUACGUCCAUACCCCUUCCUCCCAAGCAUGUACGAUUCAUCAAUCAAAGGCUCCAUGUACACGCCCAUUUUAUUCCCCGGGUGUCCGAGAAUUAUCAACGACACAAAUAUGUUCUGCCUUUAAAAGCAUACACCGGGGGGAGAUUGAUUGGGAUAACAAACACGGGCCAACAUGUGUAUGGGGCAGCGCUCAUUCCAUAGGGAUUGAACCCAUCUGUGGCCAGCGCAACACGUACAUUAUGAGCCUCUUCAGCUUUCUCGCGGUAAAUGGCAUCAAAGUGUUUCCAUGCUUCACCAUCGGAUGUGUGCACCAUCUUAUCAUGAUUGUAUCGUUUGCCAUUUUUGUGCCAUGUCAUCUGUUUCGCGGAUUCCUCAGUCAUGUAUAGACGCUGGAUCCUCGGUGUGAACGGAAGGUGGUGUAGGAUUGUCACGGGGAUGUCGAGCUGCCUAUCAUGUCCAUCACCAAAGUCUACCUCCAUGAACCUAGACGAUUUACACUUCGGACAGUACUUUGCUUCCGUGUAUUCUUUCCUAAAUAGCACGCAGUCCUUCGGACAAGCAUGUAUCUGCUCAUAUGUCAUCUUGAGUGCACGGAGGAGUUUCUGUGUGUUGGGGACCUUCGGCAUCCGAAGGUCCUCAAAAACGGGAUUUAACAGUAUUUCUGGAAGUAUAAUGUGUGAGCAGGUACCUUCAGACUCAAGUCGGUAUCACGGCAGGAGAAGACCCGGAUAAUACGAAGGUCUUGAUACAACGCCGAAGAUGUUAGCAGGAAAGCUUCGGCAUGGUUGCAGAAAAUGAAACCGACUUAAAGAUGAAAAGGCUAUUCAGACCUCGAUAGAUUACUAUAGAAUUAUUAUCAAAUGUAAAGGGCAUGAAUGUAAUUUUGUAUGGGCUGUGUCCCGUGCCUAUAAAUAGGUGAACAGAACCCCCGUACUGUUCACGCUGACUUGGCAUUCGCUUUUUGCGUCACGCUUGUACUGUCAUCUCCUUCCGAUUGAAGGUACACUUGUAAUUCAACGAUAUUUCUGUUUAUGUCUGAUAAUAAUAUAUAAUUGUUCAUAUUGUCUUUUAUGUUCUUUACAUUUCAUUCUUCGUCAUUGCUUAAUGAAUUUAUGAAGGUACGUCCUUCAUAACCUUCGUCCGUAAACCAUUAUAUCCUAAGGGAAAUAAUGUUUCGGAGGGCGAAGGACUUUAACGAUUAACAUUUUCUAUGUUGCCUUGUUCUUAACUCAUAGCACUUGAGAACAAGUCCCCAACAUUGGCGCCCACCUCCGGUGAACUCACUUCCACUCUUUGAAGUUUUUUGAACACCUUCGGCGAUCAUAAAUCUUCGUUAUGGCGCCGAAGAAAGCUUCAGCGACUGGGGCUGCAGCUCUGCAACCACUGGACCACAAUCAGGAGACAGUUUCCCUGCGGGAGGCCCGAAGCCAGAAAAGGAAGGCUGUCAGUCCGACACCACCAGAGGACGAGAUAGAUCAAGAAAUCAGAGAUAUGGAGAUGCUUCAUCAACAAGUACAGAGGAAGAAAGAAAAGAUGGCCAGGCUAGCUGAACUGCAGAGGCAGAUAGACGAAGCCUCUGAAGAAGUUCGUCAUCUUGCUCAGGAUGAGCAACACCGAAGGCCUCAGCACCAAGACCUUCAUCAGGAGGGUUUUCCCAACGAAGAUGACUGGUAUGACAAUUUCCAUCAUGGGAAUUUUGUUUUUGAUGAUGCUUCUCCUCUGUCCGCUGAGCUGCAGGCUACACCUUGGCCUCCGUCCUACAAGCCGCCUCAGCUUCCCGUAUUCGAUGGUCACUCAGACCCGAAGCAGUUUUUGAUGAGCUACGAAGCAACAGUAUCUUCGUAUGGUGGCAAUGCUUCAGUCAUGGCCAAAUCUUUCGUUAUGGCUGUCAGAAGUGUUGCUCAAACCUGGUAUUCCUCCCUUCGACCAGGAACGAUCACUUCAUGGCAGAAGCUGAAGGACUUGUUGUUAACUAGCUUUCAAGGAUUUCAGACGAAGCCGGUCACUGCUCAGGCUCUGUUCCAGUGCACCCAGGAUCACGAAGAAUACCUUCAGGCGUAUGUCCGAAGGUUCUUGCGUUUGAGGGCACAGGCACCAACGGUGCCCAAUGAAAUUGUCAUCGAGGCCAUGAUCAAGGGGCUUCGGCCAGGACCGUCAGCUCAGUACUUCGCCAGGAAGCCUCCUCAAACUUUGGAGAAGCUGCUCCAGAAGAUGGACGAGUACAUUCGGGCCGAUAAUGAUUUUCGCCAAAGAAGGGAGGAGGCUUUCAGGUUUUCUGAAAUGACCAGGGGCUUCGGAGGGAGGUUCUACCCGAGGCACGUGAGAUCAAUUCAUAACUCUACACAAAAAUGAUGAUAGAGGAAGCCAACAGCAAAGGCCACAAUGCUCCUCACAGGCUUCGGGGCAACAGCAAAGCUCCUUCCGACCACCAGCUCCAAGAGGCAGAGGCGCCAGGGGCUUUGGAGGAAGAUUUGGAGAUCAACCGAGAAGAAUCUUUUGCUUAUUCUGCGGUGAGAACAAAGGCCAUACUACCAGGAUGUGCCAUGUUACUAUUCAGAAGCAAAAGGAAAUAGCUGAAGCCGCAGCACAACAAGCUCAGCCGAAGCAGGUCAUGCAUACAACUUCGUAUCAUUCGCCCUACAUCCCAGAAUAUGUGGGCAACCAUCCUGCAGUUUCUGUUGCUUCGGCAAGUCAGCCUCAAGCUUCCUGGCAACAGCCUCCGCCUCCACCUCCGUUGCAACAAGGCCAGCAACCAGAAGGGAGCCAGUAUGCUCCACACCAGAGGGACUUCAGAGAGCAGUCCGAAGCUCGUACAGUCAAUAGCACUGUGCCAGAGUCAAAGCACAUCUAUUGACGAAUAUCCUACCUUAAUAGCAAUCUUUUUCAUUCAGUUUUAUUUUCUGUAAUAAAGGACAUUGUUUAGGUUUCAUGUAAUUAGUUUCGUUGAUUCCUACAAGAAAAAUAUGUUUUCCUCACAGGCUUAAAUUGAUUGAAGUUCAAAGACUUGUGAUAAAAAAAAGGACCUUCGAACUAUCGAAAAUUCUUCGAAGCAACAAAAAGUCGUUCUAAGGAACGCAGAGUAAGUUUGCCGAAGUCACAAAAAGUCGUUCCAAAGGGAGCGCAGUGUAAGUUUUCUGCUCCAAAGUCGUUCCAAAGGGAAUGCAGAGCAUACAGCGAAAAGUCAACGCUGAUACCGCCUAAGUAAAAGGCGAAGCGCGAAAAGUCAACGCGAAUACCGCUGAAAGUAAAAGGCGAAGAAGCUCCUAAGGGAGGCUUACAGCGAAAAAUAAACGCUGAUUCCGCUGAAGUAAAAGGCGAAGAAGCUCCUAAGGGAGGCUUAUAAAAGAUGUGUUUUAUUGCAGGGAUGCGUAUGUAUCUUCGGAAUAAACGUCAUCUCACAUAACAUAACAUCAUCGCAUCAUUUCGCAUAGCAUAAGCAUCAUACAUCAUUUUGCACAUGGCACAAGAGGUGGACACAUUAUUAAUCUACAGAAGAACGCUUUGAAAAAAGGGAGAAAUCAAAGUCACAAAAAGAUACAUCAUUGAUCUUCGGAAGUGUAUCUUCGGAAGUGUAGCUUCGGAAAAUAUCUUCACGAAGCCUGGAUAUUAAUCAUCAGAACAUUGGAUAUUGUUGUGACAAAGAAAAAUUCUUCUUCACGAAGCAUGAAAAGAAGGGAAGGUGUUUUUUCGUCAAAGACUCAAAAGUGGUACGUGUAAAGUUUCAUGCAUCGUAAAGAAUUGACUAACAAAAAUAGGUAUAUUACAUUUGGGGUUACAAAAUGUUACAGUAUAUUACAUUUCAGAAAGUUUUCACAAAAAUACUUAAUCUUCUCUCAAAACGACUUCUGCAGCCUCGUUCAGGAGCCGAUUGACGACUUCGUCCAUAAUAUCUUCAGCCAUCUUUUUAAUUUCGUCGUCUCCUUUCGGCUGAGGGCCCGAAGACGCUUUAGCACGAUCUGAAGUAAGACAGCAUGCGGCUACAUUGCUAUUACAAAUCGCAAACAAAUCUUAAAGCCUAAGAUUACAACACGAUAAAAACUAUUAGUUAAUACCUAAUUGACCUUCGGCCUCUGCGCUCUUUUCAGCAGCCUCAGCCACUUCUCUAGCAUCGUGAAUGCCCUUUUCACUUCUUCGAAUAAUUUCUCCGGCCAUUUCUCAGCCACCAUUAUCCCAGAUAUCGGUAAAACAUUUUCCACCAAUUAUACUAGCUUCGGCCGAAGGAUCUCUUGCAUCUUCAAAGGGCAAAGCAGCUUCGGAUUGUGCUAAAAUUUUUACAUGUUCGCAGCCCUUCUUCUCUAAGAUGGUGGCAAUCCCUCUGGCACCAGAGAAGGCACAUAUAUCUCCUCGGCUAUUUAAAAUUUCUUCGAAGGCUUCAGCUUCGUGGUCGAUCCAUUCGAUGACACCUUCGGGAUUGCUUCUCGAAAAGUUUUCCUCACUUGAGAAUGCGCCGACCUUGGCGAAGCUAGCCUUUAGCUUCUUAACACAAUCUAUAGAUUUAUUAUAGCAUCUCUUUUUGGACGAACGAAGCUCUUCAACAGUCACUUCUAGGUGAUCUGCCCAUUGAUCGCUGAGUUCACGCUUUGUUUCUUCAAGUAUGCGUUCUUCCUUGGCUCUGGCCAGUUGUUUCCGAAGAUCUUCAAUUUCGCGCUUCUGAGCUUCAGCUUGACCUUUAAAAGCAGCUUCGUCUUCCUUUAUUUUAUUUAUCAAUGAGUAUAAUAUUUUAUCUUUUUCGAGACCUUCGUUCCUCAGUUCAAUUACUUCGGAACGAAGGUUGCUCAGGGCUAUAGUACACCCUUCGUCUUCAGCAUCUUUCUGUGCCCUGAGGGCAUUGCUAAGUAUCAGGCCCUGCAAAGAGAAAUAUGUGUGCGUCAAUAGGUUUAAACAAACGAAAAAUACAAGGAUUUCAUUUCUCGCACCUUUAAGCUAUUGUAAGCCAGGCUGUCGGCCAGAUCGUUCUUCGACAGCACCGAGAGCCCGUCUUCUAAAGUUGGGAAUCCGAAGCUCUUGCUCAUCUCCCGACAGACAGAAAUUUCCUUGCUAUCGGGGAGACAAUACAAGAAGUCUUCUUCUCCACUGCCAUUGAAUAUUAACGCCCCCUUUGGAUAUUUCAGUUUUUGGGCGUAGUGCUGGGCCUCUUGCUCUUCUUUUUCUGAUAGUUUUUUCCCCGAAGCAUGGCGAACAAUAUAAUCACGAACUUUGGGGGAUGCUUCGGGGGCAAUGGCACCGGUUUCUUCAACAAAAGUUGGCUUUGUUAUUUUUUCUGCCUCACUUUCCAAGGAUUUUAUCUUUGCAGGCUCUGAGGGCCCAGCUUCGGCUUUAGUCUCUUGCCCUGAAGCUUUAGAUCCAGAAAUUUCAGUUGUUUCAGGAAUGACAGCAGCCCUCUUCGGAGGUGUGCUUGAAGAUUUGAUCGUUUCCAGUACAUCUAGCACAUUAGCCAUUCUCUUUCUUUUCGGAGUCACUGCUGGCACUUUCACUAUCUCAAUGUUUGCUGCAGGACUCAAAACUUCUGAUGUUUUGGAUCCCUCAGUUGAUUCUUUUACCUUUUCCAUUUUUUCUGUGGACGGCGCUUCGGCUUUCUCUUUCGUUUCUGAUAACAAAAUUUUUGAUUGUUCCAAUUCUAUCUUUGUUGGCACUUCGGCCGUUUCUGCGACUUCUGGCAGCAAGGUUGGCUCGGUUGGUUUUUCAGCUUCGGUGGCCGAAGAAGUUUCUCCGGUAAACUCAGGCACCGAAGCUGGUUCAAUAUAGCGCGGCCGAUGCGUAAGGACCUUUAUCUUCUUUCUUUUCGGUUCUGGCUCGCUAGGAGCAGUUGCAGCUUCUUCUUUUGCAGAGGUUGUGUUUUUUCUCUUCUGCCUUCGAAUGGGAUAGCAAUAGUCAGGGUAGACAAACCCGAUUGCAUCAAAUACCCGAUUCAGCCUCUUCUUUUUUCGGCCUCCGAAGGCUGCUGACAUUGCAGUAUCUUCGGCCUUCGAAUAGGUCCCAAGCAGCUCAUCACUUAAAUUUUCAAUGCUUUUUAACCAGUCAUCAUCUGGUUCAACGAAUUUAUCUCCAAACUUAAAAGUGUACUUCAACCUGAUAAGUCCACCUUCGUCGGCCUCUUUUAUGGUUUCUUGUGGCAUUUCCCAUUUCUCCGCAAGUGGCCAUACCCUGAAGGCGAUAUGCUCUUGUACUAAGUCCCUCGUUCCAAUAAAAGAACAGAUAACACCGAAGGCCCUCUGGCAUUCUUCGGCAGCCUCACUCAUUUCAACCUUCGGCCUCCGAAGGCCGAAGCUUUGCCAAAUAGGGCGCAUAAUUAUACCUUUGAUAUCUUCUCGCGCUGUCAGAUCAUUCUUCACAUAAAACCAUUCUGUCAUCCAGUCGCCGGGCCAUCUCUUCCGAAAGGUCGGCACGGGACAGCUUGACCCGGACCGAGAAACGAAAUUGUAGCAGCCAAAAUUAUUGUGAUACUGUUCCUUACCCCAAGGUUUUGUUUCGUAUGAUAAUUCGUGUAUAUUGCAGAAACUUUUUGCAUCAGGCUUCAGACCUUGGCUUCUCACGGCCCACACGAAGAUAUUUAGCCUUAUAAUUGCCUCAGGGGUAAGUUGAUGGAGAUAGACUUCGAAUAUUUUCAGUACCUCCACAACGAAGCUGCUCAAGGGAAAUCGCAGUCCAGCUUUCAAAAAGCUUCGGUACACUACGACUUCAUUCUCUUCAGGGUGUGGGCAAGUUUUUUCCCCUUCGUCGGCCCUCACAAUGGACAAAUCCCGGAAAUACCUUCCUCUCAUGUUGACAAGAUGAUUCUCUUUGAUAGUUGAUUUACCAUAAACUGAAUGGCUUGGUCGCCAGGGACGAUCUUCGGAGUCCUCACCACCACUGUCCACAUCAUAGCUGUCACUGUCACCAGUAUCUUCAGACAAACCUUCCAGAAUCUCCUUGGUAAUUUUUUCUGUAUUGGUCUUUGACAUCGCUAUAAGAAACCCCAAGUUUUUCUCUUCGUCAAGGCUCAGCUUCAUCUCAGCAACAGUCUUCUUAUCUUCAGACAUCUUCGGAGACGCUAAAAAACUAUUUUCAAAGCCGAAGCUUCAAAACUAAAAGCUUAGCAAAUCGCAGUGCACAAGAGCUAAAAAUUGAGUGAGCGGGAGUAGUUGGCCAGAAAGCGUGUCAAAUGAGUUUGCGGUAUGGCCGUAUUUAUACGCCAAGAGCGUUGAAAAUUCAAAGACCCCGCUUGUCAGUGAAUGUUGCUAUUCUAGCAAAGGGAAGGUGUUUUUUCGGACCUUCGGCGUAAAGCCUUCGUCCAUGUCGCAAUCUAAAUUCGUUAUUUUAAAACAAAUUAAUAUUGCGAGGGGCUACUGUUGGGGACCUUCGGCAUCCGAAGGUCCUCAAAAACGGGAUUUAACAGUAUUUCUGGAAGUAUAAUGUGUGAGCAGGUACCUUCGGACUCAAGUCGGUAUCACGGCAGGAGAAGACCCGGAUAAUACGAAGGUCUUGAUACAACGCCGAAGAUGUUAGCAGGAAAGCUUCGGCAUGGUUGCAGAAAAUAAAACCGACUUAAAGAUGAAAAGGCUAUUCAGACCUCGAUAGAUUAUAUAGAAUUAUUAUCAAAUGUAAAGGGCAUGAAUGUAAUUUUGUAUGGGCUGUGUCCCGUGCCUAUAAAUAGGUGAACAGAACCCCCGUACUGUUCACGCUGACUUGGCAUUCGCUUUUUGCGUCACGCUUGUACUGUCAUCUCCUUCCGAUUGAAGGUACACUUGUAAUUCAACGAUAUUUCUAUUUAUGUCUGAUAAUAAUAUAUAAUUGUUCAUAUUGUCUUUUAUAUUCUUUACAUUUCAUUCUUCGUCAUUGCUUAAUGAAUUUAUGAAGGUACGUCCUUCAUAACCUUCGUCCGUAAACCAUUAUAUCCUAAGGGAAAUAAUGUUUCGGAGGGCGAAGGACUUUAACGAUUAACAUUUUCUAUGUUGCCUUGUUCUUAACUCAUAGCACUUGAGAACAAGUCCCCAACACUGUGCCUCAUACAUGCUCUUUGGUAGAACGUGAUCCUCCGGAAGCAGGCUACCAAUAACUGUCAACAAGCAAUCGAAUGCGUCUUGACUCAUGUUAUACUGCGACUUGAACGCUAUUACAUGCCCAAUGGCAUCCAGUUGAGAAACCUUUGUCUGGCUGUGAAGGGGCUUCUGUGCCACGUCAAACAUGUCGUAGAACGCCUUUGCAAUCGGCUCUAGCUCGUCCUCCAUACAUCCUCCGACGAACUAUGCCUCAUGAUAGUCGUUCAACAUAUCUGCUACCCCCGCAUCAGCAUCAUAAUCCUCGACGUGUUGUCUCUGAAAGGGAAAUAAGCUUACACCUUUUCCUAAAUGAUUUUGGUGGUUGAAUUGCCCAACACAAAUAAUUGGACUAACUAGUUUGCUCUAGGUUAUAAGUUCUAUAGGUGCCAAAGGUUCAACACAUACCAAUAAAAAGUCCAAGAAAGGGUUCAAAUAAAAAGAGCAAAAGACAACCGAAGGCUGCCCUGGUCUGGCGCACUGGACUGUCCGAUGUGCCACCGGACAGUGUCCGGUGCACCAGAGAGAUUCACUCCAAACUUGCCACCUUCGGGAAUUUGGGAAGCCACUCCGCUAUAAUUCACCGGACUGUCCGGUGUGCCAAGCGGAGCAACGGUCGCCAACGCAAUGGUCGAGUUCAACGGUCGGCUGACAACGCUACAGUGCGCGGACUACGCGCGUAGAAGUCAGAGAAGGCGCAGAUGGCGCACCGGACAGUGAAGAGGACCUGUCUGGUGCACCAUCGGACUGUCCGGUGGCCCACAUGUCAGAAACUCCAACGGUCGAACCCUAACGGUUGGGUGACGUGGCUGGCGCACCGGACAGUGUCCGGUGGCGCACCGGACUGUCCGGUGCGCCCAUCGACAGCAGAGUUCCCCAACGACCACUUUGGUGGUUGGGGCUAUAAAUACCCCCCAACCACCACACUUCGAUGCAUCCAAGUUUUCAGCCAUCAAACCUCAUACAAGAGCUCUAGACUUCAUUCCAAGACACAAACAAAGAGAUCAAAUCCUCUCCCAAGUCUGGAAUCACUCCAAACAAAUUAGUGACUAGAGAGAGAGAGACUUUUGUGUUCUUUUAAGCUCUUGUGCUUGGAUCGCUUUUCUUCUUCCUCCUUUCUUGUUCUCAACUCAAUUGUAAUCAAAGCAAGAGACACCAAGUUGUGGUGGUCCUUGUAGUGGACUAAGUGUCCCGUUUGAUUGAAGAGAAAAGCUCACUCGGUCUAGGUGACCGUUUGAGAGAGGGAAAGGGUUGAAAGAGACCCGAUCUUUGUGACCACCUCAACGGGGAGUAGGUUUGCAAGAACCGAACCUCGGUAAAACAAAUCACCGUGUUCAUCUGUUUUAUUUCUUUGUUGAUUUGUUUUCCCUUUCUUUCGGACUUGAUUAUAUUUCUAACGCUAACCCUUGCUUGUAGUUGUGCUUAAACUUUAUAAAUUUCAGAUUUGCCUAUUCACCCCCCUCUAGGCGACUUUCAAUUGGUAUCAGAGCCCGGUACUUCAUUAGAGCCUAACCACUCGAUGUCAUGUCGGGAGCUCACGCCAAGAAGGAGAUGGUGACCGGCGAGAAGCCCGCCACAAGCCACGGGAAGGCUCCAUCGGGAGAGUCCGGCAACAAAAGGGAGGAAUCACCUCCCCACGUCAAGUCGCACCGGAGUGGUGACCAGAAGAAGAAAAUGAAGAAAGUGUUCUACUGUGAGACCGAUUCUUCGUCGCCAUCCACCUCCACGUCCGACGCGCCGUCCGUCACUUCUAAGCGCCAUGAGCGCAAGAAGUUUAGUAAGAUCUCCUUACGCUAUCCUCGUAUUUCCAAAUGCACUCCUUUACUUUCCGUCCCACUAGGCAAACCACCGGUUUUUGACGGUGAACAUUAUUGUAUGUGGAGUGAUAAAAUGAGGCACCAUCUAACCUCACUCCACGCUAGUAUUUGGGACAUUGUUGAGUUUGGUGCGCAGGAACCAUCCGUGGGGGAUGAAGGCUAUGAUUCGGAUGAGGUAGCCCAAAUCCAGCACUUCAACUCCCAAGCCACCACUAUACUCCUCGCCUCUCUAAGUCGAGAGGAGUAUAAUAAGGUGCAAGGGUUGAAGAGCGCCAAAGAGAUUUGGGACGUACUAAAGACCACACACGAAGGAGACGAGGUGACCAAGAUCACCAAGAGCGAAACGAUCGAGGGGGAGCUCGGUCGCUUCAUGCUUCAUCAAGGGGAGGAGCCACAAGCAAUGUACAACCGGCUCUAGACCUUGGUGAACCAAGUGCGCAACCUCAGGAGCACCAAAUGGGAUGACCAUGAAAUGGUCAAGGUUAUUCUAAGAUCACUUAUAUUUCUUAAUCCUACACAAGUUCAAUUAAUUCGUGGUGAUCCUAGAUACAAGAUAAUGUCUCCCGAGGAGGUUAUAGGAAAAUUUGUGAGCUUUGAAUUGAUGAUCAAAGGCUCCAAGAAAAUCAUCGAGCAAGGCGCCUCCUCCACACCCGAAAUGCAACUCGUCGCAUUCAAGGCAACAGAGGAGAAGAAAGAAGAGUCUACUUCAAGUAGACUUCCCAUCGACGCCUCCAAGCUCGACAACGAGGAAAUGGCGCUCAUCAUCAGGAGCUUUCGCCAAAUCCUCAAGCAAAGGAGGGGGAAGGACUACAAGCCCCGCUCCAAGAAAGUUUGCUACAAGUGUGGUAAGCCCGGACAUUUCAUUGCUAAAUGUCCAUUAUCAAGUGAUAGUGACAGGGGCGAUGACAAGAAGGGGAGAAGGAAGGAGAAGAAGAAAUAUUACAAGAAGAAGGGCGGCGAUGCCCAUGUAUGCCACGAGUGGGACUCCGAUGAGAGCUCCACCGACUCCUCCUCCGACGAGAACGCCGCAAACAUCGCCAUCAACAAGGGUCUUCUCCUUCCCAACGUCGAUCACAAGUGCCUCAUGGCAAAGGACGACAAAAAGAAGAAGGUAAAAUCUAGAGCUUCCACUAAAUAUGCAACAUCUAGUGAUGAGGCUAGCUCUAGUGAUGAUGAGGAUGAUUUGAUCACCCUUUUUGCCAACUUAAACAUUCAACAAAAAGACAAAUUGAAUGAAUCGAUUAGUGUUAUUCAUGAGAAGGAUGAACUCUUGGAUAGCCAAGAGGACUUCCUUAUUAAAGAAAAUAAGAAGCAUGUUAAAGUUAAAAAUGCUUAUGCUCAGGAGAUAGAAAAAUGUGAAAAAUUAACUAGUGAUCUAAGCACUUGCCAUGACACUAUUUUCAACCUUAGAUUUGAAAAUGACAAAUUGAUUGCUAAGGUUGAGAAAUUAAAUGUUAGUGAUGAUUCUCUUGUCAACCUUAGAAAUGAUAAUGCUAAUUUGAUUGCUAAGGUUGACAAAUUGAAUGCAUCUCUCUCUAGCCUUAAAAUUGAGAAUGAAAAAUUAAUUGCUAAGGCUAAAGAUUUAAAUGUUUGCAAUGUUUCUAUUUCCAAUCUUAGAGAUGAGAACACUAUUUUACAUGCUAAGAUUGUUGAAUUAAAUACUUGCAAACCCUCAACAUCUACCGUUGAACAUGUUACUAUUUGCACUAGAUGUAGAGAUGUUAAUAUUGAUGCUAUUCAUGAUCACAUUGCUAUGAUUAAACAACAAAAUGAUCAUAUAGCAAAAUUAGAUGCUAAAAUUGCCGAGCAUGAAUUAGAGAAUGAAAAAUUUAAAUUUGCUCGUAAUAUGCUUUAUGGUGGGAGACGCCCUGGCAUUAAGGAUGGCAUUGGCUUCCAACAGGGAGGCGAUGUCAAACUCAAUGCCCCUAAGAAAUUGUCCAACUUUGUUAAGGGCAAGGCUCCCAUGGUUUAGGAUAACGAGGGUUACAUUUUAUACCCUGACGGUUAUCCCGAACAUAAAAUUAGGAGAAUUCACUCUAGGAAGUCUCACUCUGGCUCUCAUCAUGCUUUUAUGAAUAAGAGUGAGGCAUCUAGUUCUAGGAAAUCCACCCAUGCUAAAUUGCCUAAGAAGAAAACUCCUAUAGCAUCAAACGAACCUAAUUUUUCAUUUAAGACUUUUGAUGCUUCUUAUGUGCUCACUAACAAAUCAGGCAAAAUAGUUGCCAAAUAUGUUGGGGCUAAACACAAGGGAUCAAAGACUUGUGUUUGGGUACCCAAGGUGCUUGUUUCUAAUGUGAAAGGACCCAAGACCAUUUGGGUACCUAAGAACAAGGCCUAAACUUGUUUUGUAGGUUUAUGCAUGCGGGGGCUCAAGUUUGAUCAUCGAUAGCGGGUGCACAAACCACAUGACUGGGGAGAAAAUAAUGUUCUCCUCCUAUGAGAAAAAUCAUGAUCCCCAAAGAGCUAUCACAUUCGGGGAUGGAAAUCAAGGUUUGGUCAAAGGACUUGGUAAAAUUGCUAUAUCCCCUGACCAUUCUAUUUCCAAUGUUUUUCUUGUAGAUUCUUUAGAUUACAACUUGCUUUCUGUUUCUCAAUUAUGCAAAAUGGGUUACAACUGUCUUUUUACGGAUAUAGGUGUUACUGUCUUUAGAAGAAGUGAUGAUUCUGUAGCAUUUAAGGGAGUGUUAGAGGGUUAGCUAUACUUAGUUGAUUUUAAUAGAGCUGAACUCGACACUUGCUUAAUUGCUAAGACUAACAUGGGUUGGCUCUGGCAUCGCCGACUUGCCCACGUUUAAAUGAAGAAUCUCCACAAACUUCUAAAGGGAGAACACAUUUUGGGACUAACAAAUGUUCAUUUUGAGAAAGACAGGGUUUGUAGCGCAUGUCAAGCAGGGGAAGCAAGUUGGUGUUCAUCAUCCACACAAGAACAUAAUGACGACCGACAGACCGCUUGAGCUACUCCACAUGGACCUAUUCGGCCCGAUAGCUUAUAUAAGCAUCAACGGGAGUAAGUAUUGUCUUGUAAUUGUGGAUGAUUAUUCUCGCUUCACUUGGGUGUUAUUUUUGCAGGAAAAAUCUCAAACCCAAGAGACCUUAAAGGGAUUCUUGAGAUGGGCUCAAAAUGAGUUCGGCUUAAGGAUCAAAAAGAUAAGAAGCGACAACGGGACGGAGUUCAAGAACUCUCAAAUAGAAGGCUUCCUUGAGGAUGAGGGCAUCAAGCAUGAGUUCUCUUCUCCCUACACACCACAACAAAAUGGUGUAGUGGAGAGGAAGAAUAGAACUCUACUUGACAUGGCGAGGACCAUGCUUGAUGAGUACAAGACUUCGGACCGGUUUUGGGCGGAAGCAGUCAACACCGCUUGCUACGCCAUCAACCGUCUCUACCUUUGCCGAAUACUCAAGAAGACAUCGUAUGAACUACUCACCGGUAAAAAGCCCAAUGUUUCAUAUUUUAGAGUCUUUGGUAGCAAAUGCUUUAUUCUUGUUAAAAGAGGUAGAAAAUCUAAAUUUGCUCCUAAGGCUGUAGAAGGCUUUUUACUUGGUUAUGAUUCAAACACAAGGGCAUAUAGAGUCUUUAACAAGUCCUCUGGACUAGUUGAGGUUACUUGUGACAUUGUGUUUGAUGAGACUAACGGCUCUCAAGUAGAGCAAGUUGAUCUUGAUGAGCUAGAUGAUGAAGAGGCUCCAUGCGUCGCGCUAAGGAACAUGUCCAUUGGGGAUGUGUGUCCUAAGGAAUCCGAAGAGCCUCCACAAGCACAAGAUCAACCAUCUUCCUCCAUGCAAGCAUCUCCACCAACUCAAGAUGAGGAUCAAGCUCAAGAGGAUGAAAAUGAAGAUCAAGAAGAUGAGCCACCUCAAGAGGAGGGCAAUGAUCAAGGGGGAGAUGCCAAUGAUCAAGACAAGGAAGAUGACGACAGUCCAAGACCACCACACCCAAGAGUCCACCAAGCAAUACAAAGAGAUCACCCCGUGAACUCCAUCCUCGGCGAUAUUCAUAAGGGGGUAACCACUCGAUCUCGUGUUGCUCAUUUUUGUGAACAUUACACCUUUGUAUCUUCUAUUGAGCCAUAUAGGGUGGAAGACACAUUAAGGGAUUCAGAUUGGGUGUUGGCGAUGCAAGAGGAACUCAACAACUUCACGAGGAAUGAGGUAUGACAUUUAGUUCCACGCCCUAAUCAAAAUGUUGUAGGAACCAAGUGGGUCUUCCGCAACAAGCAAGAUGAGCAUGGUGUGGUGACAAGGAACAAAGCCCGACUUGUGGCCAAGGGAUAAUCACAAGUCGAAGGUUUGGAUUUCGGUGAAACCUAUGCACCCGUAGCUAGGCUUGAGUCAAUUUGUAUAUUACUUGCCUAUGCUACUUACCAUGGCUUCAAGCUUUAUCAAAUGGACGUGAAAAGUGCCUUCCUCAAUGGACCAAUCAAGGAAGAAGUCUAUGUUGAGCAACCUCCCGACUUUGAAGAUAGUGAGUACCCUAACCAUGUGUAUAAACUCUCUAAGGCGCUUUAUGGGCUCAAGCAAGCCCCAAGAUCAUGGUAUGAAUGCCUAAGAGAUUUUCUUAUCGCUAAUGGCUUCAAAGUCGGAAAAGCCGAUCCUACUCUCUUUACUAAAACAAUUGCAAAUGAUUUGUUUGUAUGCCAAAUUUAUGUUGAUGAUAUUAUAUUUGGGUCUACUAACAAAUCUACAUUUGAAGAGUUUAGUAGAUAAUGGUACAAAAAUUCGAGAUGUCUAUGAUGGGGGAGUUGAAGUAUUUCUUAGGAUUUCAAGUGAAGCAACUCCAAGAGGGCAUCUUCAUCAGUCAAACGAAGUACAUUCAAGACAUACUCACCAAGUUUGGGAUGAAGGAUGCCAAGCCUAUCAAGACACCCAUGGGAACCAAUGGGCAUCUUGACCUCGACACGAGAGGUAAAUCCAUAGAUCAAAAGGUAUACCGGUCGAUGAUAGGAUCUUUACUCUAUUUAUGUGCAUCUCGACCGGAUAUUAUGCUUUUCAUAUGCAUGUGUGCAAGAUUCCAAGCCGAUCCUAAGGAAGUUCACCUUAGGGUCGUGAAAUGAAUCUUGAGAUAUUUAGUUCAUACUCCUAAGUUUGGCCUUUGGUACCCCAGGGGAUCCACAUUUGAUUUAAUAGGAUAUUUAGAUGCUGAUUGGGCAGGGUGUAAAAUUGAUAGAAAGAGCACAUCAGGGACUUGUUAGUUCUUGGGAAGAUCCCUGGUGUCAUAGGCUUCAAAGAAGCAAAAUUUUGUAUCUCUUUCUACCACCGAAGCCGAGUACAUUACCGCAGGCCAUUGUUGCGCGCAAUUGCUUUGGAUGAGGCAAACCCUUAGGGACUAUGGUUACAAAUUAACCAAAGUUCCGCUCCUAUGUGAUAAUGAGAGUGCAAUCCACAUGGUGGAUAAUCCCGUUGAGCACAACCGCACUAAGCACAUAGCCAUUCGGUAUCACUUUUUGAGGGAUCACCAACAAAAGGGGGAUAUCGAGAUUGUUUAUAUUAACACCAAAGAACAAUUAGCCGAUAUCUUUACCAAUGUUGGGGACUUGUUCUCAAAUGCUAUGAGUUAAGAACAAGGCAACACAAGAAAUGUUAAACGUUAAUGCCCUUCGUCCUUCGAGACAUUAUUUCCCUUAGGAUAUAAUGAUCUUCAGACGAAGGUCAUGAAGGACAUACCUUCAUCAUUGCAAUAUACGAUAAUAAAAGGAGAAUCAUAUAGAAUGUAAGAGACAACAUGAAUAAGUAUGUAAUAUUAUCAGCACAUUUCUAUUUUAUUAUCAUGGACAAAUAGAAAUGAUAUCAAAUUACAAAUGUACCUUCAGCUUGAUGGAAGGUAAAAGUACAAGUGUGACGCACGAUCAAAUACAAGUCAGCGUGAACAGUACGGGAGCACUGUUCAUCUAUUUAUAGGCACGGGACACAGCCCAUGUAAAAUUACACCCAUGCCUUUUACAUUUGCUAAUGACUCUAUAGUGAUCCAUCGAGGUCUAAAUGACCUUUUCCCUUUUAAGUCGGUUCCCUUUUCCGCUGUUAUGCCAAAGCUCCCUUGCGCGUAGCUUCGGCGCUACGUCAACCUUCGUAUUCUUUGUGCUUCUCACACUGUGGUUCUGAUCCGAGUCCGAAGGUACCUGUUCAUGUAUCAUACUCCAGAAAUAAUGUUAAAUCAUGUUUUUGAAGACCUUCGGAAGACGAAGGCCCCCAACAGUAGCCCCUCGCAAUAUUAAUUUGUUAGAAUAACGAAUUCAAAUUGCGAUAUGGACGAAGGCCUUAAGCCAAAAUUCUGAAAAAACACCUUCCCUUUGCUAGAAUAGCAACAGUCGAUGACAGACGGGGCCCUCCAAUUUGGAACGCACUGGGCGUAUAAAUAGGAACUCACCCCGAGCACAUUUGGUACGCUAUCUGCCGCCUGCUUUGCUUGCUCAAUUUUUUAGCUCUUGCCUACCAACGCUUGCUUGGUUUUUUAGACUUUCUAAGCUUCGGCUUUAAGGACACAUUUUCGCCAUUUCCGAAGAGAAGAUGUCUCAAGACAAAAAAGUUGUUGCUGAGACGAAGCUGAGCGAAGAGGAGAAGCUCCAUGAGGAGAAGACUGCUGGAUUUGUUGAAUCAAUAGCAAAGAAAAAUACAGAAAAGAUUACUAAGGAGAUUCUAGAAGGCUUAUCUGAAGAUACUGAUGACAGCGACAGUUAUGAUGCGGAAAGCGGAGGCGAAGACUCCGAAGAUCGGCCCUGGCGACCAAGCAUGCAGUCUUCGGGAAAUCAACCAUCAAACAGAGUCAUCUUGAUAAUAUGAGAGGAAGGUAUUUUCGAUAUUAUUUUUUUGUUCUUAUAUUAACCCAUUCAUUCUUUUCAUAUAGGGUUUAAUACUUAGCAACGCCUUAAGGGCGCAAAAGAAUGUCGAAGACGAGAGUUGCACUAUUGCUCUCAACAACCUUCAAACAGAGGUUAUCAAGCUGAGGAACGAAGCUUUGGAAAAAGAAAAAAUUCUACUUACAUUGGUGGACAAAGUAAAGGGGGAUGAAGCUAACUUCAAGGCUCAAUCUGAAAUCCAAAGGAAUGAGAUUGAAAACCUUCAAAAACAACUGGCCGAAGCCAAAUUGAAAUGCGCUAUUGCCGAAGCUGACCGAGUUGCCAGUGAGUACUAGAAAAAUUAUCUUGAAAAACAGUUGCAGAGCUUCGCUCAUCAAAAGAAAGAUGUUUUGAAAAAUCUGUGGAAUGCGUGAAAAAGAUAAAAACUAGCUUUGCCAACGUUGGCGCAUAUUCAAGCGAAGAUAACUUCAUACGGGGCGACCCCGAAGGCGUAAUCGAGUGGAUCAGCGGUGAGGCCGAAGCCUUUGAAGAGAUUUUGAGUGACCGCGGGGACGUCUGUGCCUUCUCUGGUGCGAGAGGAAUUGCAGCUAUUUUGGAGAAAGCAGGGUGCGAACAUGUUAAAACUUUGGCCCAGGCCGAAGCUGCCUUCUCCACCGAUGAUAUAAAGGACCCCUCGGCCGAAGCAAACUCAAUAGGUGGAAAAAAUUUCACUGAUAUCUGGGAAAACGGUGGCCGAGGGAUGGCCCAUGAAAUUAUAAAGAAAAACGAAAAAGAUAUUCACGACACUCGAGAGUCAAUAAAAGAAGCUGAAAAGGCUGCGGAGCUUGAGAGACGAAUAUGUAUUACUUAAUGGUUUUUAACUUUGUUGUUUAUUUUUGUGACUUUGAACUGAUUUAUGUUUUCUACCUUAGCUGAACUAUCUCCUCCCCCAGCGCCCUUAGAGUCAUUGGCCGACCCAGAGGCAAAGGAAUCAACAGAACUUAUUAACAUGGCCGAAACUAUUGUAGACGAAGUCGUUACCCAACUGCUGACCGAAUUUGCACAUAAAGUUUUGAAGGAAGAAGAGUAGCUAUUGUAAAAACAUUGCUAGAAUAUUAAUGUAACAUUUGCCGGACUAUGCUUGUAAUAUUUGGUGCUCCUAGGUUUUGAAUGUAAUAUAUGAAUGGUUUUGUAAUUCAUUUCUUUGCGAUGCAUGAAACUUUUAUGUACAUACCGUUUUUGAGCCUUCGGCGAAAAAACACCUUCCCUUCUUUUCAUGUUCGUAAAGAAGAGCUUUUAUGCUUCGUAAAAAAUCCUCCAAUCGUCGCAAAAACAUUAAUGCUUCGUCAACAACAGAUUUUUCCUCCACAUCAGAGCUGAUGAAGCUGUAUUUCUUCAAAACUUAUUUUGUGCCUUAGCACAAUUUCACUUUUUUCGAAGCAUUCUUCGAAGGUCAACAUUGUAUCCCCUUCUUGUGCCAUUGAUGCAAUAUGAUGUAUGAUGUUAUGUUAUGUGAAAUGAUGUGAUGAUGUUAUGUUAUGCAAAAUGAUGUUUAUGCCGAAGACACACACUCACACCCCCAUAGUGGAAUACACAAUCUCUUUGCCGCUUAUUUUUCGGCUUCACCGCUUAUUUUUCGGUGUAUCAGCGCUGACUUUUCACUGUAAGUUCUGCAUUCCCUUAGGAACGUCUUUUGAACUUCUUCACCUUCUAUUUCGGCGGUAUUCGCGUUGACUUUUCGCGCUUCGCCUUAUAUUUCGGCGGUAUUUGGCUCUGCAUUCCCUUUGGAAUGACUUUUGAGCAGAAAACUUACACUGCGCUCCCUUAGGAACGACUUUUUGUAGCUUCGGCAAACUUACGCUGCGUUCCUUAGAACGACUUUUUUGUGGCUUCGGUGAUACUUGUAAUGUGAUUUUUAGCCCCGCGUUCCCUUAGGAACGACUUUUGUGCUUCAGUGACUUUUUGAACUUCGUGAGUCUGUGGAGAAGAUAUAUUUCACUAUGGCAAGAACGAAGUUAUUACAAGAAAUCAAGAGAGCUAGGUUUUCAAUAAUUGUUCCUUAUUAAAAAGGAAGUGAUAAUGAAUGUAAAAACUGCUUCAGGGGUAGGAUAUCUCUCAAUAGAUAUGCUUCGAUUCUAGCACAGUACUGUUGGCUGUGCGAGCUUCGGACUCCUCCCUGAAAUCUCGUUGCUGAUGGGUCUGUUGGCUCCCUUCUGGCUGCUGGCCUCGUGAAUAUGCAGGUUGUAGUGGUGGCAGAGGUGGAGGCUGUGGCCAAGAUGCAUGUGGCUGGCUAGCCGAAGCAACAGAAGCUGCAGGAUGGUUACCCACAUACUCUGGUAUGUAGGGUGAGUGAUACGAAGCAGUGUGCAUGACCUGCUUCGGCUGGUUCUGCUGAGCUGCGGCUUCUGCUAAUUCCUUUUGUUUCUGAAUGGUGACAUGGCACAUCCUUGUAGUAUGGCCCUUGUCCUCACCACAGAAUAAGCAAUUUUCCUAGGUUGAUCCCCAAACCUUCCUCCGAAGCCCCUGGCACCUCUGCCUCUUGGAGUUGGCGGCCGAAAAUAGGUUUGUUGCUGCCCCGAAACUUGCGAGGAAUAUUGUGGCUUCUGUUGCUGACUUCCUCUGUCGUCAUUCUGGGUGGAGUGGAUUGAUCUGACAUGCCUUGGGUGGAUUCUUCCUCCGAAGCCCCUGGUCAUCUCAGAGAACCUGUAGGCUUCCUCCCUUCUUUGGCGAAAGUCAUUGUCAGCCCGGAUGUAUUCAUCCAUCUUUUGAAGCAGCUUCUCCAAAGUCUGUGGAGGCUUUCUAGCAAAAUACUGGGCAGUAGGUCCUGGAUGAAGCCCCUUGAUCAUGGCCUCAAUGACAAUUUCAUUGGGCACAGUAGGCACUUGUGCUCUCAGACGCAAGAACCUUCAGACGUAUGCCUGGAGAUACUCCUCAUGAUCUUGCGUGCAUUGAAACAGAGCCUGAGCUGUGACUGGCUUCGUCUGAAAGCCCUGGAAACUUGUCACCAGCAUGUCCUUGAGCUUCUGCCAUGAAGUGAUGGUCCCUGGCCGAAGAGAAGAAUACCACGUUUGAGCCACAUUCUUAACUGCCAUGACGAAGGACUUGGCCAUGACAGCUGCAUUGCCUCCGUAUGAAGAUAUAGUUGCUUCAUAACUCAUCAAAAACUGCUUCGGGUCUGAAUGCCCAUCAUACAUUGGAAGCUGAGGUGGCUUGUAUGAUGGGGGCCACGGGAUAGCCUGCAGUUCUGCUGCCAAGGGAGAAGCAUCAUCAAAAGUAAAGGUAUCAUGAUUAAAAUCAUCAUACCAUCCAUCGUCGUUGAACAAGCCCUCUUGAUGAAGCUCCCUGUGUUGGGGCCUUCGAUCUUGCUCGUCUUGAGCAAGGUGGCGUACUUCUUCAGUGGCUUCGUCAAUCUGCCUUUGAAGGUCAGCUUGUCGGGCCAUCUUCUCCUUCUUCUUUUGCACUUGCUGAUGAAGCAUCUCCAUGUUUCUGAUUUCUUGGUCCAACUCGUCCACCUGGGGUGUUGGACUAGUGGCCUUCCUCUUCUGGCUUCGGGCCUCUCGAAGAGAAAGGGUCUCCUGAUUUGGGUCCAGUGGCUGCAGAGCGGCAGCCCCUAGCGCUGAAACUUUCUUCGGUGGCAUGACGAAGGUCAAUGCUUGCCGAAGGUGGUCGAAAAGAGUUCACCCCACGGUGGGCGCCAAUGUUGGGGACUUGUUCUCAAAUGCUAUGAGUUAGGAACAAGGCAACAUAAGAAAUGUUAAACGUUAAUGCCCUUCGUCCUUCGAGACAUUAUUUCCCUUAGGAUAUAAUGAUCUUCAGACGAAGGUCAUGAAGGACAUACCUUCAUCAUUGCAAUAUACGAUAAUAAAAGGAGAAUCAUAUAGAAUGUAAGAGACAACAUGAAUAAGUAUGUAAUAUUAUCAGCACAUUUCUAUUUUAUUAUCAUGGACAAAUAGAAAUGAUAUCAAAUUACAAAUGUACCUUCAGCUUGAUGGAAGGUAAAAGUACAAGUGUGACACACGAUCAAAUACAAGUCAGCGUGAACAGUACGGGAGCACUGUUCAUCUAUUUAUAGGCACGGGACACAGCCCAUGUAAAAUUACACCCAUGCCCUUUACAUUUGCUAAUGACUCUAUAGUGAUCCAUCGAGGUCUAAAUGGCCUUUUCCCUUUUAAGUCAGUUCCCUUUUCCGCUGUUAUGCCGAAGCUCCCUUGUGCGUAGCUUCAGCGCUACGUCAACCUUCGUAUUCUUUGUGCUUCUCACACUGUGGUUCUGAUCCGAGUCCGAAGGUACCUGUUCAUGUAUCAUACUCCAGAAACAUUGUUAAAUCAUGUUUUUGAGGACCUUCGGAAGACGAAGGCCCCCGACAACCAAGCCACUAGAUGAGAAAACUUUUACCAAUCUUAGGCAUGAGCUAAACAUUCUAGAUUCUAGGAAUUUUGAUUGAUAUUUUGCACACAUAGCUUAUUUCAAUACCUUUGAUCAUAUCUCUUUCAUGUGCUAUGACUAAUGUGGUUUUCAAGUAUAUUUCAUGCUAAGUCAUAGAUUGAAAGGAAAAUGGAGUCUUCGGCGAAGAAAAGGCUUCCACUCCAUCGAAUUAUUCAUCCUUCGCCGACACUCCACAUCGCUCUCCAAUUUGGUAUAAUCUUCACUCCUACAUUAUUUACCAAAGGGGGAGAAAGUUUGAAAAAGGGCUUAUAUUUUCACUCACAAGUAUCCGUUUUUGGCGAUUCAUGCCAAAGGGGGAGAAAGUAUUAGCCCAAAGCAAAAGGACCGCACCACCACCAAUUUCAAAAAUGAAGUCUUUUAAAUUUGUACUAAAAGAAGGUUUUUCAAUUGGUAUCUUAUUUUUGAUAGAAUUUUCAAAUUGGUAUAACCCAUUUCAAAAUUAAUAUCUAAAACUCUCUUGAACAAUAAGAGGAGAAUUUCAUUAAGGGGGAGUUUUGUUUAGUCAAAGGAAAAGCAUUUGAAACAGGGGGAGAAAAUUUCAAAUCUUAAAAAUGCUUCUCAAAAUCUUACUCAUUUACCUUUGACUACUUGCAAAAAGACUUUGAAAAGAAUUUCCAAAAGAGUUUGCAAAAACAAAACAAGUGCUGCAAGCGUGGUCCAAAAUGUUAAAAUAGAAGAAAGCAUCCAUGCAUAUCUUAUAAAAUGUAUAUUGGUUUAAUUCCAAGUAACCUUUGCACUUUCAUUAUGCAAACUAGUUCAAUUCUGCAAUUAUAUAUUUGCUUUGGUUUGUGUUGGCAUCAAUCAUCAAAAAGGGGGAGAUUGAAAGGGAAAUAGGCUUACACCUUUUCCUAAAUGGUUUUGGUGGUUGAAUUGCCCAACGCAAAUAAUUGGACUAACUAGUUUGCUCUAGAUUAUAAGUUCUACAUGUGCCAGAGGUUCAACACAAACCAAUAAAAAGUCCAAGAAAGGGUUCAAAUAAAAAGAGCAAAAGACAACCGAAUGCUGCCCUGGUCUGGCGCACCGGACAGUGUCCGGUGCACCAGGGAGAUUCACUCCAAACUUGCCACCUUUGGGAAUUUGGGAAGCCACUCCGCUAUAAUUCACCGGACUGUCCGGUGUAGCACCGGACUGUCCAGUGUGCCAAGCGGAGCAACGGUCGUUAGCGCAACGGUCGAGUUGAACGGUCGGCUCACAACGCUACAGUGCGCGUACUGCGCGCGCAGAAGUUAGAGCAGGUGCAGAUGGCGCAUCGGACAGUGAACAGGACCUGUCCGGUGCACCACCGGACUAUCCGGUGGCCCACAUGUCAGAAGCUCCAACGGUCGAACCCUAACGGUUGGGUGACGUGGCUGGCGCACCGGACAGUGGCCGGUGGCGCACCGGACUGUCCGGUGCGCCCAUCGACAGUAGAGUUCCCCAACGGCCACUUUGGUGGUUGGGGCUAUAAAUACCCCCCAACCACCACACUUCAAUGCAUCCAAGUUUUCAGCCAUCAAACCUCAUACAAGAGCUCUAUACUUCAUUCCAAGACACAAACAAAGAGAUCAAAUCCUCUCCCAAGUCCGGAAUCACUUCAAACAAAUUAGUGACUAGAGAGAGAGACUUUUGUGUUCUUUUGAGCUCUUGCGCUUGGAUCGCUUUUCUUCUUCCUCCUUUCUUGUUCUCAACUCAAUUGUAAUCAAAGCAAGAGACACCAAGUUGUGGUGGUCCUUGUAGUGGACUAAGUGUCCUGUUUGAUUGAAGAGAAAAGCUCACUCAGUCUAGGUGACCGUUUGAGAGAGGGAAAGGGUUGAAAGAGACCCGGUCUUUGUGACCACCUCAACGGGGAGUAGGUUUGCAAGAACCGAACCUCGGUAAAACAAAUCAUCGUGUUCAUUCGUUUUAUUUCUUUGUUGAUUUGUUUUCCCUCUCUUUCGGACUCGAUUAUAUUUUUAACGCUAACCCCGACUUGUUGUUGUGCUUAAACUUUAUAAAUUUCAGAUUUGCCUAUUCACCCCCCCUUUAGGUGACUUUUAGUCUCAACACCUCCUCUCUCGUACGAUGCGCUUUACCAUGGAAGAUCCACCGAGUAUAGUCUGGCGUAAAUCUGAUCUUCCAAAUAUGUUCUACCAUGGCCUUCUUUGAUUUUCUUUUCCGGUUGGCACAUUUGCUGCACGGGCAUGGGACUAGACUCGCUCCUUUAGCAGCUUUGCCAUAUGCCCGUUCCACAAAAGCAUCGGUCUUUCUAAUCCAUUCAGGGGUGACAUCAUUCCUACUUACACGGCAUGUGUACAUCCACUCACGGUCUUCCAUCCUCUAACAUAUGUAACCGAGUAUAGUUUAAUAUAAACAUGUAAUGCAUGUACGCUAUGUUCCUACCUUAUAAUAGGUGAGUAUAGUUCUUAAUCUCACUCGCGGUUGCGUAGACGAAGUUAGUUUCCAUGCUCUACUUCGAUCCAAGACAGAGUUCCGGCAGCACCUCCCCGUUGUUCUCCGGAUACACGCCCUAGCAGGUAGAAUGUACUGUCCGGAGAUCAACAUGGAGGUGAAACCGAAACUCUGUCUCGGACCGGAGUAGAGCAUGGAAACUAAUACCAGGGCGACGGUGGAGUAGGGAUAGCGGGGCUGUGGCGGGUCGGUGCAGUGGCGACGUGUCGCAGUGCAGGUUCUAGUGUGGCGGCAAGGAAUACCUCUGCAAAAAAAAAUUAACACAAGUUUAUCAACAAAAAAAUCGGCAGGACUUCCCCUGCACGAGGAGGUUGCAAAAAACCAGCAAAUAAAACUAACAGCACGAUGGCUGACAUCCACACAUAUACUAGCAAAAAAUAGACUUGCGUGUGUUAUUUACAAUUGUGUUAGUUACACACAAUCUAUUGAUGCCAUAUUUGUUGUGUACUAGCGAUUGGCAAGAAGAAUCAACUUUUAGGCACUAAAACAUCUAGUGGGUUCAAAUUAAAGAACUUCUUCUAUUAAUUACAGAACCACCCCAUCGGCCGACCAGGAUCCAAAUUAAAGAACUUCUUCUUCUAUUAAUUAUAGUAUAUUAUAAUUACCAAGUCUCUUCUUAUAUUUACAUGUUCAUUUGCUUGCUUCUUGCAUAACAUAACGGCGAUCGAUGAUGACCAUCGUUAGUUUUAGUCCUACGUGUAUUUGAUUCAAUCCCUCCAUGUUCAUAGUAUAAAUUCAACCAAACCUAAAUAAGUUUCAGUCAGCUUGAUCUUAAAAUUGCAUCAUACACACACAUACAUAGUCUUACUAGAAGUAAGCAAUUUCUUUUAAACUAAUUUCCAGCCAACAUUGAUGAAUGAACUAGAAUGUGGCUAUAACCGAGACCUGUGUGGGUGGUGCUGGAGAUGGGGACGUUGGGCCGAGGCUCACCGGCGUCGAGGCCUGUCCGAAGAUGGCCGACCGCCAGGCCGGGGACGGGGCUCGUUGGAGAUGGCCGGGUCGAGCGACGGUGGGGACGUCGGAGGCAGGGAGGAUGGCCGGCACGGUGUCCGGAGCCGGAGGGGAUGACCGGAGAGGAGGAUGGUCGGCGCUUGCUCCGAUGGCGUUGGCGGCGAGUGGCGUUGGCGGAGGGGACGACUGGUUAGGGCUAUGUACACAGACUUUGCCGAGUGCCAUAUCACGGGCACUCGGCAAAGAUUUUUUUUAAAUUUAAAAAUAAACUUUGCCGAGUGUCACAGAUCACUGACAGGCACUUGGCAAAGAUUGUUUUAAUUUUUUUAAAAAAACUUUACAGAGUGUCCCACGGCAGGCACUCGACAAAGAAUGCUUUACUGACUGCCUUAUUUUGACACUCGACAAAGAAUUCUUUGCCAAGUGCCCGAUAAAAAGCACUUGGCAAAGCACCGAGCACUCGGCAAAGAGCCGGAUUCCGGUGUGGUUGUUUCAUGGAAGUUGUAAGUAGACCAUCUUAACAAGGUCAACAAUAGAAGUACAACUCACAACAUUAGAUACUGCCAAAGUUAAUGUUGAGAGGCUUCGUGAACUCCUUAUGGAUUUACUAGUAGUUGAAAAACCAAUACUGGUUAUCUAUAUGAGCUAUAAUAAUUAAACAUUGGUAAUCAAAGUGAACAAUUCUUAGGUUAACAUGAAGACUACAAAGCAUGUCAAGAACGGUUGAAACUGUUAAAACACUAAGAAACUCUAGAUUAAUUGUGUUGGACUAUGUCCAUACUUCUAAGAAUUUGGUAUGCCAGUUUAUAGAAGAUUUGUCACAUAAUGUGAUAGAUGGUGCAUCGAGAAAGAUGGACUUGAGACCCACUUAAUGCCAUUCCAUAGUAGUAGCAUUUUCUAUGUGAUUGGAGAUCUCAUGAAGUAAAAUGGUGAAAUAAGCUAGAGAAUGACUGAUGGAGAGACUCCUUAAAUAAAAUCUAGGUAAUUUCAUAUGAACAUUUCUCCUUCGAUGUACGAUAGGCUAACUAAAAUCUUAAUAUGAUUUGAGUGACAUAUCUAAGCAGGGAUGUUAUCUUAUAGAACAUCCUAUAAGGAACACACCUAUAUGACUUUGACUACUAAUCACAGUCUAUGAUAUGUGGGAAAUAUUUUUUUACUCAUGAAAGGCCUCGAAGUUUGACUUAUAUGCUUCAAACCAAUGGAUAACUGAUUGAAUCUGUUUCAGACAGCAGCAUAGUUAACUUCAAAAUUCUAUAUCUCCCAAACUUCUCAACCAAAAAUUAUUAAAUUAUGCUGACAGUAAGAACUUUUAUCCCUCUACAAAAGUCUCCAUAGUUGGAAGAGCCAAUUCGGCCAUUUACUAGAUGAAACCUACCAGUUAACAGACCCGCUCAUUUUUGUCAGGCAAACAAGAACCCUUAUAUAUCAAAGAGUAGUGGAUUUGAAUUUGUCUAAUAUGAAGUUUAUGGGCUUGGAUCAUUUAAAGUAUUUUAUAAUUCUGAAAGACAAGAUUAAACUAACUAUGUAUGAUCCUUUAGCACCGUACAGAUGGUCGAUGGGACAGUUACAUGGUUUAUAUAGAUGGACCUAUCUAUAUUCCUUCAGUGGUUGAGAACAAGGUAAAGGUGUGUCACACUCACGCGUGCGCCGCCUCCGCCGAGACGAGGCAUGGCGUUGCAGGGUGAGGCAUGGCAUGGUGCAGCACGAUCGCAGUCAUGGUCGUGGCACAGUGUAGCACUGUUGUGGAUAGAUAGAUAAACUAUUGUUGUAGUUAGAGUGCAUGAGUUUUUGAAUGCAACACUAGAAUUUUCACAAUUUAACUUAAUUAAGAAGUUAUAUCUUGAUGACACAGAGUUACCUGACCAUUGAUCUCACAUGCCCUUUUAGCUCUCUCGUACUCUAGACUUACCCUGACUAUUUAGGUCUCCUGACUCGCCAAUAUAAACACCAUCCUAUCAUUUGCUGUCGAAUACUUCUGUGUCACAACUCAACUGUCAGAUGAGUACUCCAUUACAGCACUGAGCAGGCCUCCGAAAUGAAUAUCUACUCAGAUGAAGGACGACAAUCGUGUUCUAGGGAAAUAUCAGCGACACAACUCCUUACUUCCUCCGCUUCUUCCUAGUGUUUUUUGUUGUGAUUGAGUCGACAUAGCAACAACACUGCACUAUUACAACCAGUACGACUAUAUCAACUAGCAAUGUCUUCCUUAUAUGUUACUAUUUAUUUUGCUCAUAUUCAUUAUGUUUAAAUCACAUAGGCGCCUUUAUGUUGGCAUCAAAAAAUCAGUAUCAACUUUAUAGAUUAAAAUGAAACUAAAAGUACCUAAAUUUCUAUCGGUGGGGAUCGAGUGAUUCUUUAAACCGAUUAUUACACAAGUUAACCACACUAAAAUUAACAAUGGUGAAUCGUGCCAUGAUUUUUUUCUAGUGGAAAAUAGCCAAACCAAGCAACACAUAUGUGGCUAUCGUUACACAUGUGUAAAGGUAUUGCAUCACACCAUUGUCACCCAUGUAUGUGGACAAUACCGAGAGGAAAAACCACUUAUUUAUUGUAUUUUAUCAAGUUUGUCUUGCUUACGUAUAAAUUAUAACCCAACAAAGUAAUCACUAAAUGUCAAAACCAACUAGAUACCAUGUCAUCUCUACCUUAUCUUACUAAUAUUCUUUUUGCAAAAUCCAAAAUUAAUCUUGCACAAGCACAAGGACUGAGAUGUGUAUAAAUAUCUCUUAAAUUAGUAGCUAAUAUAUCGCACAUAUUAUUGAGACCAACUAGCAACAUAGAAAGCACAAUAGUGUACCAACAAUGGCAGCCAAAAUAUUUUGCCUCCUUAUGCUCCUUGGUCUUUCUGCAAGUGCUGCUACGGCGACCAUUUUCCCGCAAUGCUCGCAAGCUCCUAUAGCUUCCCUUCUUCCCCCGUACCUCUCACCAGCGGUGUCUUCGGUAUGUGAAAACCCAAUUCUUCAACCCUACAGGAUCCAACAGGCAAUCGCAGCUGGCAUCUUACCUUUAUCACCCUUGUUCCUCCAACAAUCAUCAGCCCUAUUACAACAGUUACCUUUGGUGCAUUUAUUGGCACAAAACAUCAGGGCACAACAACUACAACAACUUGUGCUAGCAAACCUUGCUGCCUACUCUCAGCAACAGCAGUUUCUUCCAUUCAACCAACUAGGUUCAUUGAACUCUGCUUCUUAUUUGCAACAACAACAACUACCAUUCAGCCAGCUACCUGCUGCCUACCCCCAGCAAUUUCUUCCAUUCAACCAACUAGCAGCAUUGAACUCUCCUGCUUAUUUACAGCAGCAACAACUACUACCAUUCAGCCAGCUAGCUGGUGUGAGCCCUGCUACCUUCUUGACACAACCACAGUUGUUGCCGUUCUACCAGCACGUUGCGCCUAACGCUGGCACCCUCUUACAACUGCAACAAUUGCUGCCAUUCAACCAACUUGCUUUGACAAACCCAGCAGUGUUCUACCAACAACCCAUCAUUGGUGGUGCCCUCUUUUAGAUUUCUUAUGAGUUAUAGUUCAAUAAUAAAGUUUUUUAUCUGAUGUUUGUGGCUUCCCAGAAAUAAGAAAGUACAUUUCUAGAUUCUUAUGUGCUUCUAGUCUUCAAAUGUGGUUGAUAGUUAUUGUUGGGGACUUGUUCUCAAAUGCUAAGAGUUAAGAACAAGGCAACAUAAAAAUGUUAAAUGCUAAAGUCCUUCGUCCUUCGAAGCAUUAUUUCCCUUAGGAUAUAAUGAAUUUCGGACGAAGGCUAUGAAGGACAUACCUUCAUAAGCACAACGAAUGAUGAAGAAGAAUUCAUAUAAAUUAUGAGAUAUAACAUAAACAUUUAAACAUUAUUAUUAACUCAUUUCUAUUGACUUGUCAGGGAAAAAUAGAAAUGAUAAUAAAUUACAAAUAUACCUUCGGCUUGAGAGAAGGUAAAGGUACAAGCGUGAGGCAAAAGCAAAUGCCAAGUCAGCGUGAACAGUACGGGAACACUGUUCAUCUAUUUAUAGGCACGGGACGCAGCCCAUGCAAAAUUACAUCCAGGCCCUUUGCUUUUGACAAUAACUCUAUAGUAAUCUAUCUGGGUCUAGAUAGUCUUUUCCUCUUUAAGUCGGUUUCCUCUUUUCUGCCAUCAUACCGAAGCUCCCUUGCGCACAGCUUCGGCUCUGCUCCAUCCUUCGUAUUGUUUCCGUGCUUCUUCAUACCGUGGGCUCUUGUUCGAAGAUCCCUAUCCACACAUUAUACUCCAGAGGCAUUGUUAAAUCAUGUUUUUGAGGACCUUCGGAAGUCGAAGGCCCCCAACAGUAGCCCCUCGCAAUAUUAAUUUAUUAGAAUGAUAAAUUUAGAUCGCGACAUGGACGAAGGCCUUAAGCCGAAGGUCCGAAAAAACACCUUCCCUUUGCUAGAAUAGCAACAAUCAAUGACAAGCGGGGCCCUUUCCCUUGCAACACACUAGGCGUAUAAAUAAGAGCAUACCGCGAGCGGAUUUGGCACGCUUUUUGCCAUCUGCUCUUGCUCACCCAACUUUUAGCCCUUGCACACCAACACCUGCUUGGCCUUUUUUUAAAAAAAUUUAAGCUUCGGUUUCGAGAGCACUUUCUCAGCAUUUUCGAAGAUGUCUGAAGAUAAGAAAGUUGUCGCUGAGUCGAAGCUGAGACUUUCUGAGGAGAUGAAUCUCGGCUUUCUUGAAUCAAUAGCGAAGACAAAUACAGAGAAGAUUACUAGGGAGAUUUUAGAAGGUUUAUCUGAAGACACUGGUGACAGUGACAGUUAUGAUGUGGAAAGUGGUGGUGAAGAUUCCGAAGAUCGACCCUGGUGACCAAGCCAUGCAGUUUUUGGAAAAUCAAGCAUUAAACUAAGCCAUCUUGUUAAUAUGAGGGGCAGAUAUUUUCGGGAUUUAUCUAUUGUGAGGGCUGAUGAAGGAGAAAAAACUUGUCCUACUCCUGAGGAAAAUGAAGUCGUGAUAUUCCGAAGCUUCUUCAAGGCUGGGCUUCGGUUUCCUUUAAGCGGUUUCGUGGUUGAAGUUUUGAAGAUUUUUGAAAUCUACCUCCAUCAAAUUACUCCUGAAGCAAUCAUAAGGAUGGGAAUCUUCGUAUGGGCUGUGAAGAGCCAAGGUUUGGAGCCGAAUGCAAAAAGUUUCUGCAAUAUGCAUGAGCUAUUAUACGAGACGAAACCUUGGGGUAAAGAGAAAUAUCAUAACAAUUUUGGCUGCUACAGCUUCGGCGCCCGCUCUGGGUCAAGCUGUCCCGUGCCAACUUUUUGGAAGAGAUGGCCCGGGGACUCGAUGAAGGAAUGGUGUUAUGUAAAAAACGACUUGAAAACGCGAGAAGGUAUUAAAGAUAUCAUCAUGCGCCCCAUCUGGCAGCGUUUCGGCCUUCGGAAACCGAAGGUGGAUAUUGACGAAGCAACCGAAGAAUGCCAGAGGGCCUUCGGCGUAGUUUGCUCUUUCAUCGGGACAAGGGAUUUGAUCCAGGAACAUAUUUCCUUCAGAGUAUGGCCACUUGUAGAAAAGUGGGAAAUGCCGAAGGAAACCAUCAGCAAACCUGAUGAAGUGGACUAGUUAGGUUAAAAUAUACCUUCAGAUAUGGAGAUAAGUUUGUGGAGCCAGAUGAUGACUGGCUGAAAUGUAUUGAGGCCACAAGCGAUGAACUGCUUGGGCCAUAUUCGAAGACAGAAGAUACUGCACUGUCCGCGGCCUUCGGAGGUCGGAAGAAGAGACUCAACCGAGUGUUUGAUGCCAUUGGGUUCGUCUAUCCUGACUACCGUUACCCAACACAGGGUCAGAAAGGGAAAGAUACGACUUCUGUGAAGAAAGUUGCUUCAGCCGCUCCUAGUGAGCCGGCGCCGAAGAGGAAAAAGAUGAAGGUUCUUACGCACCGGCCACGCUAUAUUGAACCGGCCACAGUGCCUGAGUUUGUCGGUGAGACCUCUUCGGCCACCGAAGCCAAGGAGCCGACUCUCCUGCCGAAUAUUGAAGAGCCGGCCAAAAUGCCGGCAAUGGAAAAAAUAGAAGAACCGAGGGCUGAAGAGACAAAGACAUCGGAAAAGAAUGGUUAACGUGCUAAUGCCGAAUAUUGAAGUCCUUCAGCAAGAAUCGAGGUGCUAAUGCCAAUGCCGAUGGCACAAAAAGACCUUACGACAACCCCCAAGAGGAAAAGAAUGGUUAACGUGCUAGAUGUACUGGAAACGAUAAAAUCUUCAAGCUCUACUCCGAAGAUAGCUACUGAAGUUCCAAAGACACAAACUGAGGCCAAAGCUGCCAAAAGUCAAGCGGAAACUGAAACUGGGCUUUCAGAGCCUACCAAGAGGGAAUUCUUGGAAAUUGAAAAAGAAACGGAAAAAGAAUCUGCAGAAGAAACUUUUUCUGAGAAAAUCGUCACACAUAUUCCCGAAGCAUCUUCUGAAGCUUCUGACUAUGUAUUACGUCAUGCUUCGGGUAAAAAUCUGAGCGAAAAAGAAAAAAGAGAAGCUCAAUUCUAUGCGCAAAAAUUGAAAUAUCCAAAAGGGGCGCUGAUAUUCAACGGCAGCGGAGAAGAAGACUUCUUGUAUUGUCUCCCUCAUAGCAAGGAGAUUUCUGUCUGUCGGGAGAUGAGCAAAAGCUUCGGAUUCCCAACAUUAGAAGACGGGCUCUUGGUGUUGUCAAAGGACGAGCUAGCCGACAGCUUAGCGUAUAAUAGUUUAAAGGUGAAGAAAAUGAGAUCUUUGUAUUAUUUCUUGAAACCAAAAUUUUUCAUUUGCUUAAACUUAUUAACGCAUUUUUUUACAGGGUCUUAUACUUAGCAAUGCCCUCAGGGCACAAAAGAAUGACGAAGACGAAGGGUGCGCCAUAGCCCUGAGCAACCUUCGUUCCGAAGUAAUUGAUCUAAGGAACGAAGGUCUCGAAAAAGAUAAAAUAUUACAUUCGUUGGUGAAUAAAAUAAAAGAAGAUGAAGCUACUUUCAAAGCUCAAGCUGAGGCUCAGAAGCACGAAAUUGAGAAUCUUCGGAAACAACUAGCCAGAGCUACAGAAGAAUACACAAUUGAAGAAACAAAACGAGAAAUUAGUGAACAAUGGGCAAAUCAUUUAGAAAAAAACGUUGAAGAGCUUCGUGCGUCCAAGAAAAGGUGUUAUGAAAAAUCUAUAGAAUGUGUUAAGAAAAUAAGAACCAGCUUCACCAACGUUGGCGCGUUUUCAAGUGAAGAAAAUUUCAUGAGGGGUGACCCCGAAAGCCCAAUUGGAUGGAUCAGCCACGAAGCUGAAGCUUUUGAAUAGCCGUGGAGACAUAUGUGCCUUCUCGGGUGCCAGGGGGAUUGCCGCUGUUUUGGAGAAGAAAGGUUGCGAUCACGUGAAAUCCCUGGCACAGACCGAAGCCGUUUUAUCCUCUGAAGACAUAAAAGACCCUUCGGCCGAGGCGAGUUUGGUUGGUGGGAAAUUUUUCACCGACAUCUGGGAAAACGGUGGCCGGGAGAUGGCUCAAGAAAUUAUACGGAGAAGCGAGAAUGGUAUACAUGACGCUAGAAAAGUAGCAGAGGCCGCUGAGAAAAGUGUGGAUCUCGAAGGGCGAAUAGGUAUUAACUAGUAAUUUUUGGCUUUUUGUUGUAACCUUUUGAUUUUGAACUUGUUUACACUUUGUAACAUGGUCGCACCUUCUCCUCCCUCAGAGCCUGCCGAGCCAUCGACAGACCCCCACGUAAAGGGGGAUGACGAGAUUAGAAGAAUGGCUGAAGCUAUCAUGGACAAAGUUGUUGAUCAAUUACUAAACGAAGCUGCAGAAAUAGUUCUAAGGGAAGAUUAGAUGUUAUUGUAAAAACAUUUGGAAUGUAAUAUUUGUUGAACAAUAUGUGUAAUAUUUUGUAACUUUGAAUGUAAUAUAUAAUCUAUUUGUGGUUCAAUUCUUUACGAUGCAUGAAACUUUACAUACAUACCGUUUUUGAGCCUUCGGCGAAAAAACACCUUCCCUUCUUUUCAUGCUUCGUAAAUAAUAUCCGUAUAUCAUAAAAACAUCCAAUUUUCGUAAAAUCAGUAACCAAUAGAUCUUUUUAUUUCAUAAAAACAUCCAAUCUUCGUAAAAUCAGUAACCAAUCUUCGUAAAGGCAUGCUUCUUCAAUAAUUAUUUUUGUGCCUUGGCACUGUUUCUUCGAAACAAUCUCCGAAUAUCAACAUUGAAACCCCCUUCUUGCGUCAUUGAUGCAAUAUGAUGUAUGAUGUUAUGCUAUGCAAAUGAUGUGAUGAUGUGAUGUUAUGCAAAAUGAUAUUUGCCGAAGAUCAACGUUUAUUUUUCACUGCAAGCCUCCCUUAGGAGCUUCUUCGCCUUUUACUUCAGCGGAAUCAGCAUUUAUUUUUCGCUGUAAGCCUCCCUUAGGAGCUUCUUCGCCUUUUACUUUCAGCGGAAUCAGCGUUUAUUUUUUGCUGUAAGCCUCCCUUAGGAGCUUCUUCGCCUUUUACUUUCAGCGGAAUCAGCGUUUAUUUUUCGCUGUAAGCUCUGCAUUCCCUUCGGAACGACUUUUGAGCAGAAAACUUACGCUGCGCUCCCUUAGGAACGACUUUUUGUUAUUUCGGAGAUUCUCCUUGUAACCAUAAAUUCUUAUGCUUCGGCAACUCUGUUAUUUUGUGGAGAAGGUAUAUUUUUACUGUGGCGAAAACGAAGCUAUUACAAGAAAUUGAAAACGACAAAAAGCACUUAGGCUUUCAAUAAUUGUUCCUUAUUAAAAAGAAAAUGAUACUGAAUGUAAAAACUACUGCCGAGGUAGGAUAUUUGUUAGUAAAUAUGCUUCGAUUCUGGCACAGUACUAUUGACUGUGCGAGCUUCGGACUCUUCUCUAAAGUCCCGUUGAAGGUGGAUAUGCUGACUCCCUUCUGGCUGCUGGCUUUGUUGCAUUGGUGGUGGAGGUGGAGGCUGCUGCCAAGAUGCCUGAGGUUGGCUUGCCGAAGCAACAGAAGCUGCAGGGUGGUUGCCUACAUACUCUGGAAUGUAAGGCGAAUGGUAUGAAGCAGUGUGCAUAACUUGCUUCGGCUGGCUCUGUUGGGCUGCAGCUUCUGCUAUCUCCUUUUGUUUCUGGAUGGUAACAUGGCACAUCCUGGUGGUAUGGCCCUUGUCCUCUCCACAGAAUAGGCAAUAGAUCUUCCUGGGCUGAUCCCCAAAUCUUCCUCCGAAGCCCCUGGCACCUCUACCCCUUGGAGCUGGAGGCCGAGGAUAGCUCUGCUGCUGCCCCGAAGCCUGGGAGGAAUAUUGCGGCCUCUGCUGCUGGCUUCCCCUGUCAUCAUUCUGAGUGUUAUGAAUCGAUCUGACAUGUCUAGGGUGAACUCUCCCUCCGAAGCCACUGGCUAUUUUGGAGAACCUGUAAGCUUCCUCCCUUCUCUAUCGGAAGUCGUUGUCAGCGCGGAUGUAUUCGUCCAUCUUCUGAAGCAGUUUCUCCAGAGUCUGAGGGGGCUUCCUGGCAAAGUACUGGGCUGAAGGUCCUGGCCGAAGCCCCUUAAUCAUGGCCUCAAUGACAAUUUCAUUGGGCACUGUUGGUGCUUGUGCCCUCAGGCGUAAGAACCUUCGGACAUACGCCUGAAGAUAUUCUCCGUGGUCUUGGGUGCACUGGAAUAAGUCUUGAGCGGUGACCGGCUUCGUUUGAAACCCUUAGAAACUGGUGAUCAGCAUAUCCUUCAGCUUCUGCCAUGAUGUGAUUGUUCCUGGCCGAAGGGAGGAGUACCAGGUUUGUGCAACAUUCUUGACGGCCAUGACGAAAGACUUCGCCAUGACUGCAAUAUUGCCACCAUAGGAAGAUAUCGUUGCUUCGUAGCUCAUCAGAAACUGCUUCAGAUCUGAGUGUCCGUUGUACAUGGGGAGUUGAGGUGGCUUGUAAGACGGAGGCCAAGGUGUAGCCUGCAGUUCUGGUGAUAGAGGAGAAGCAUCGUCAAAAGCAAAAUUUCCAUGAUGGAAAUCCUCAUACCAGUCAUCCUCGUUGACGAAGCCCUCUUGGUGGAGCUCUCUGUACUGGGGCCUCCGGUUCUAUUCAUCUUGCGUAAGAUGACGAACCUCUUUAGAGGCUUUGUCUAUCUGCCUUUGUAGGUCAGCUAGCCGGGCCAUCUUUUCUUUCUUCUUUUGCACUUGUUGAUGCAGCAUUUCCAUGUUCCUGAUUUCUUGGUCCAAAUCGUCCUCCUGAGGCGUUGGACUGGUGGCCUUCCUCUUCUGGCUUCGGGCUUCCCGAAGAGAGAGAGUCUCCUGGUUCGUGUCCAGCGGCUGCAGAGCCGCAGCCCCUGUUGCUGAAGCUUUCUUUGGCGGCAUGACAAAGGUCGAUGCUUGCCGAAGGUGUUCGAAACUCAAAAAGUGGAAGUGAGUUCACCGGAGGUGGGCACUAAUGUUGGGGACUUGUUCUCAAAUGCUAAGAGUUAAGAACAAGGAAACAUAAAAAUGUUAAAUGCUAAAGUCCUUAGUCCUUCGAAGCAUUAUUUCCCUUAGGAUAUAAUGAAUUUCGGACGAAGGUUAUGAAGGACAUACCUUCAUAAGCACAACGAAUGAUGAAGAAGAAUUCAUAUAAAUUAUGAGAUAUAACAUAAACAUUUAAACAUUAUUAUUAACUCAUUUCUAUUGACUUGUCAGGGAAAAAUAGAAAUGAUAAUAAAUUACAAAUAUACCUUCGGCUUGAGAGAAGGUAAAGGUACAAGCGUGAGGCAAAAGCAAAUGCCAAGUCAGCGUGAAUAGUACGGGAACACUGUUCAUCUAUUUAUAGGCACGGGACGCAGCCCAUGCAAAAUUACAUCCAGGCCCUUUGCUUUUGACAAUAACUCUAUAGUAAUCUAUCUGGGUCUAGAUAGUCUUUUCCUCUUUAAGUCGGUUUCCUCUUUUCUGCCAUCAUGCCGAAGCUCCCUUGCGCACAACUUCUGCUCUGCUCCAUCCUUCGUAUUGUUUCCGUGCUUCUUCAUACCAUGGGCUCUUGUUCGAAGAUCCCUGUCCACACAUUAUACUCCAGAGGCAUUGCUAAAUCAUGUUUUUGAGGACCUUCGGAAGCCGAAGGCCCCCAACAGUUAUUUUGCUCUAAGAUCGGCAGUAAUGAAGUAUAAAUCAUCGUUGUGGUGUGCUACUCGGUUAAUUGAGCAUUAACACACACAAACAUGACGAGGAUGGUAUAAUCUCCAAAAAUGUGUACUUUGUUAGGUGGGACCCUAUAGCCUUGCAGAAUGUGCUAUGUUAGGCAUGCCUGGAAACGUGUGACGCAUACGUUUUGUGAACCUGUUCAUAUUAUAUGUGCUUUUAUAUUAUCGUAUUUUAUUAAAAUACUAAUAUUUAUUACUAGUAAGAUAUAACAUUCUAUCUAGCUUAAAAACUAACCAUAAAUAUUCCAUAAUAACUAGAUUUACCAAACUAAUAUACUAAAUAUACAUAAUAAAUACAAAAUUAACAAGACAAUAAUCAAUAUUUAUGAGCUUAAUAUAUUUAGACAUUAUGGUUGGUCGACGAUAAUCAUGCUAACUUUCCGUAAUUGCUUGAUUGUAAAUAUGCUUAGAAUAAUGCCUCUUUGUUCUACAUGGCAAAUAGGGACCAUUAUGGUGUAACACCCUGGGAUCCACAAACACCCUGAAAUGCUACUAAACUACACAACUAACCUUCAUAUAUUAAAUUUCGACAGCAUCUCCUUUGAAAAUUUGUAUAAACGUGGAAGCAACAGAGUAUAAACAGAUAUGAUGAUAAGGAAACAUAAUAGACAUUAAUAAUCUGCUAGAAAUGGGAAGAUAACCAUAACGACAUAAACUGAAUUAACUAGUGUGCACGGCAUGUUAAAAACAAACAUCGUUGACAAGAAGUUUCUAAUUAAAUCAUGGCUGUGCCUAGGCAGCGUUAUUAUAUGAGUGAAGGUGGACGUGAUGCUACUUCCCUCAUUCCCAACAUGAAUCAAGUACCUGUAUUGAGUAAUGCAAGAGUGAGAUGAAAACAUCUCAGCAAGUAAAUUGUUUUGACGAGAUAUUUAAACCAAAAAAAUUUGAUUUAAUCAACAUUUUAAAGGGAUCACAAUUGAGAUCAGACAUACUUGUAGAUAUAAAACUCAAUAGUCCCAAAAUAACCAAUGCCAUCUCAUUUCCACAAACAACCACAAUAGGUUGUAUAACACUUCCCUGCGUCAUCAAUACCUGCAAAUAUCACUUCAAUGUAUGCAUAGGAAUGCAAUGUUUAAGUCCUCUGCAUUCAUACUUCUUAGAGUAUAAAACCACACCAUCUGCAAAUAUCACUUCAAUGAAUGCAUAUGAAUGCAAUGCAUAUGUCCUCUGCCUUCAUACCUCUAAGGGUAUGAAGACGCAUCGUACCCCUCCUCGGGCAACGUACGAUGCUAAGUUGUACCGGUACGGUCGGACCAUAGGUCACGACAAAACUUCAGAUGCAAGUGAAUCAUGACAUGUAUAUGGCAUGCUGCAUUUAUCAAUAUACUACACUUCCUUCACAUACAAUACAAACCUCAAAUAAUACUUCGUUUACCUUCAGAUACAAUACAAACCUCAAAUAAUACUUCAUUCACCUUCAGGGGUGUUUAUUAAUCUCGUGGGUCAUACUCAAAUCAUCAUCAUCAUCAAUGAUGUUUAAGCAUCAGUAUAAUACAAUCAAGUAAAGCAUCACCAUAGAGUUCAAUUAUGAAAGAAUUCGAUGAUUCUGAAUAUUAGAGUGUAUGCGAUGAAACAACAAAGUCAAAACGGUAGCAACCACCGCUACAUUCACUUGCCUUCAUCGAAGAAGAAAAAGGUACUAGGCAUGAUUCGGAGUGUAGACACCUGCUGUGGGGCUUAAAACUUAGUACAAAUAUUCCACAAACAUUUGCCAACAACUAACAAAUCGCUCCUACACUUGUAACCAAGACCCGGUGGAAUGACUCCCACCCUGAACCACAUGUCAAACAGCAGGAGUGCUGUUUGUUAAUUUUGUAUCUUUAAAAUUAUAACAGUGGUGAUAUCAAACAAAUACUCUAGAAGUUUCUACACAAAAUACUCUACAACUUCGGUAUUCAAUGGAUAAUUAAAUUUUGCCAUCUAUAAGUUCUAAAACAUCUGACAAGAUAACUGACAGAAUCUGUUUCAGACAGCAGCAUAGUUAACUUCAAAAUUCGAUAUCUCCCAAACUCCUCAACCAAAAUUUAUGAAAUUAUGUUGACAGUAAGAACUUUUAUCCCUCUACAAAAGUCUCCAUAGUUGGAAGAGCCAAUUCGGCCAUUUACUAGAUGAAACCUACCAUUUAACAGACCCGCUCAUUUUUGUCAGGCAAACAAGAACCCUUAUAUAUCAAAGAGUAGUGGAUUUGAAUUUGUCUAAUAUGAAGUUUAUGGGCUUGGAUCAUUUAAAGUAUUUUAUAAUUCUGAAAGACAAGAUUAAACUAACUAUGUAUGAUCCUUUAGCACCGUACAGAUGGUCGAUGGGACAGUUACAUGGUUUAUAUAGAUGGACAUAUCUAUAUUCCUUCAGUGGUUGAGAAAAAGGUAAAGGUGUGUCACACUCACGCGUGCACUGCCUCCGCCGAGACGAGGCAUGGCGUUGCAAGGUGAGGCAUGGCAUGGUGCAGCACGAUCGUAUACAUGGUCGUGGCACAGUGUAGCACUGUUGUGGAUAGAUAGAUAAACUUUUGUUGUAGUUAGAGUGCAUGAGUUUUUGAAUGCAACACAAGAAUUUUCACAAUUUAACUUAAUUAAGAAGUUAUAUCUUGAUGACACAGAGUUACCUGACCAUUGAUCUCACAUGCCCUUUUAGCUCUCUCGUUCUCUAGACUCACCCUGACUAUUUAGGUCUCCUGACUCGCCAAUAUAAACACCAUCCUAUCAUUUGCUCUCGAAUACUUCUGUGUCACAACUCAACUGUCAGAUGAGUACUCCAUUACAGCACUGAGCAGGCCUCCGAAAUGAAUAUCUACUCAGAUGAAGGACGACAAUCGUGUUCUAGGGAAAUAUCAGCGACACAACUCCUUACUUCCUCCGCUUCUUCCUAGUGUUUUUUGUUGUGAUUGAGUCGACAUAGCAACAACACUGCACUAUUACAACCAGUACGACUAUAUCAACUAGCAAUGUCUUCCUUAUAUGUUACUAUUUAUUUUGCUCAUAUUCAUUAUGUUUAAAUCACAUAGGCGCCUUUAUGUUGGCAUCAAAAAAUCAGUAUCAACUUUAUAGAUUAAAAUGAAACUAAAAGUACCUAAAUUUCUAUCGGUGGGGAUCGAGUGAUUCUUUAAACCGAUUAUUACACAAGUUAACCACACUAAAAUUAACAAUGGUGAAUCGUGCCAUGAUUUUUUUCUAGUGGAAAAUAGCCAAACCAAGCAACACAUAUGUGGCUAUCGUUACACAUGUGUAAAGGUAUUGCAUCACACCAUUGUCACCCAUGUAUUUGGACAAUACCGAGAGGAAAAACCACUUAUUUAUUGUAUUAUAUCAAGUUUGUCUUGCUUACGUAUAAAUUAUAACCCAACAAAGUAAUCACUAAAUGUCAAAACCAACUAGAUACCAUGUCAUCUCUACCUUAUCUUACUAAUAUUCUUUUUGCAAAAUCCAAAAUUAAUCUUGCACAAGCACAAGGACUGAGAUGUGUAUAAAUAUCUCUUAAAUUAGUAGCUAAUAUAUCGCACAUAUUAUUGAGACCAACUAGCAACAUAGAAAGCACAAUAGUGUACCAACAAUGGCAGCCAAAAUAUUUUGCCUCCUUAUGCUCCUUGGUCUUUCUGCAAGUGCUGCUACGGCGACCAUUUUCCCGCAAUGCUCGCAAGCUCCUAUAGCUUCCCUUCUUCCCCCGUACCUCUCACCAGCGGUGUCUUCGGUAUGUGAAAACCCAAUUCUUCAACCCUACAGGAUCCAACAGGCAAUCACAGCUGGCAUCUUACCUUUAUCACCCUUGUUCCUCCAACAAUCAUCAGCCCUAUUACAUCAGUUACCUUUGGUGCAUUUAUUGGCACAAAACAUCAGGGCACAACAACUACAACAACUUGUGCUAGCAAACCUUGCUGCCUACUCUCAGCAACAGCAGUUUCUUCCAUUCAACCAACUAGCUGCAUUGAACUCUGCUUCUUAUUUGCAACAACAACAACUACCAUUCAGCCAGCUACCUGCUGCCUACCCCCAGCAAUUUCUUCCAUUCAACCAACUGGCAGCAUUGAACUCUCCUGCUUAUUUACAGCAGCAACAACUACUACCAUUCAGCCAGCUAGCUGGUGUGAGCCCUGCUACCUUCUUGAUACAACCACAGUUGUUGCCGUUCUACCAGCACGCUGCGCCUAACGCUGGCACCCUCUUACAACUGCAACAAUUGCUGCCAUUCAACCAACUUGCUUUGACAAACCCAGCAGCGUUCUACCAACAACCCAUCAUUGGUGGUGCCCUCUUUUAGAUUUCUUAUGAGUUAUAGUUCAAUAAUAAAGUUUUUUGUCUGAUGUUUGUGGCUUCCCAGAAAUAAGAAAGUACAUUUCUAGAUUCUUAUGUGCUUCUAGUCUCCAAAUGUGGUUGAUAGUUAUUUUGCUCUAAGAUCGACAGUAAUGAAGUAUAAAUCAUCGUUGUGGUGUGCUACUCGGUUAAUUGAGCAUUAACACACACAAACAUGACGAGGAUGGUAUAAUCUCCAAAAAUAUGUACUUUGUUAGGUGGGACCCUAUAGCCUUGCAUAAUGUGCUAUGUUAGGCAUGCCUGGAAACGUGUGACGCAUAUGUUUUGUGAACCUGUUGAUAUUAUAUGUGCUUUUAUAUUACCAUAUUUUAUUAAAAUACUAAUAUUUAUUACUAGUAAGAUAUAACAUUCUAUCUAGCUUAAAAACUAACCAUAAAUAUUCCAUAAUAACUAGAUUUACCAAACUAAUAUACUAAAUAUACAUAAUAAAUACAAAAUUAACAAGACAAUAAUCAAUAUUUAUGAGCUUAAUAUAUUUAGACAUUAUGGUUGGUCGACCAUAAUCAUGCUAACUUUUCGUACUUGCUUGAUUGUAAAUAUGCUUAGAAUAAUGCCUCUUUGUUCUACAUGGCAAAUAGGGACCAUUAUGGUGUAACACCCUGGGAACCACAAACACCCCGAAAUGCUACUAAACUACACAACUAACCUUCAUAUAUAAAAUUUCGACAGCAUCUCCUUUGAAAAUUUGCAUAAACGUGGAAGCAACAGAGUAUAAACAGAUAUCAUGAUAAGGAAACAUACUAGACAUUAAUAAUCUGCUAGAAAUGGGAAGAUAACCAUAACGACAUAAACUGAAUUAACUAGUGUGCACAACUUGUUUAAAACAAACAUCAUUGACAAGAAGUUUCUAAUUAAAUCAUGGCUGUGCCUGGGUAGCGUUAUUAUGAGAGUGAAGGUGGACGUGAUGCUACUUCCCUCAUUCCCAACAUGAAUCAAGUACCUGCAUUGAGUAAUGCAAGAGUGAGAUGAAAACAUCUCAGCAAGUAAAUUGUUUUGACGAGAUAUUUAAAGCAAAAAAAUUUGAUUUACUCAACAUUUUAAAGGGAUCACAAUUGAGAUCAGAAAUACUUGUAGAUAUAGAACUCAAUAGUCCCAAAAUAACCAGUGCCAUCUCAUUUCCUCAAACAACCACAAUAGGUUGUAUAACACUUCCCUGCGUCAUCAAUACCUGCAAAUAUCACUUCAAUGUAUGCAUAGGAAUGCAAUGUUUAAGUCCUCUGCAUUCAUACUUCUUAGAGUAUAAAACCACACCAUCUGCAAAUAUCACUUCAAUGAAUGCAUAUGAAUGCAAUGCAUAUGUCCUCUGCCUUCAUACCUCUAAGGGUAUGAAGCCGAAUCGUACCCCUCCUCGGGCAACGUACGAUGCUAAGUUGUACCGUUACGGUCGGACCAUAGGUCACGACAAAACUUCAUAUGCAAGUGAAUCAUGACAUGUAUAUGGCUUGCUGCAUUUAUCAAUAUACUUCACUUCCUUCAUAUACAAUACAAACCUCAAAUAAUACUUCGUUUACCUUCAGAUACAAUACAAACCUCAAAUAAUACUUCAUUCACCUUCAGGGGUGUUUAUUAAUCUCGUGGGUCAUACUCGAAUCAUCAUCAUCAUCAAUGAUGAUUAAGCAUCAGUAUAAUACAAUCAAGUAAAGCAUCACCAUAGAGUUCAAUUAUGAAAGAAUUCGAUGAUUCUGAAUAUUAGAGUGUAUGCGAUGAAACAACAACGUCAAAACGGUAGCAACCACCGCUACAUUCACUUGCCUUCAUCGAAGAAGAAAAACAUACUAGGCAUGAUUCAGAGUGUAGACACCUGCUGUGGGGCUUAAAACUUAGUACAAAUAUUCCACAAACAUUUGCCAACAAUUAACAAAUCGCUCCUACACUUGAAACCAAGACCCGGUGGAAUGACUCCCACCCUGAACCACAUGCCAAACAAUAGUAGUGUUGUUUGUUAAUUUUGUAUCUUUAAAAUUAUAACAGUGGUGAUAUCAAACAAAUACUCCAGAAGUUUCUACACAAAAUACUCUACAACUUUGGUAUUCAAUGGAUAAUUAAAUUUUGCCAUCUAUAAGUUCUAAAACAUCUGAUAAGAUAACUGACUGAAUUUGUUUCAGACAACAGCAUAGUUAACUUCAAAAUUCGAUAUCUCCCAAACUCCUCAACCAAAAAUUAUGAAAUUAUUCUGACAGUAAGAACUUUUUUCCCUCUACAAAAGUAUCUAUAGUUGGAAGAGCCAAUUCGGCCAUUUACUAGAUGAAACCUACCAGUUAACAGACCCGCUCAUUUUUGUCAGGCAAACAAGAACCCUUAUAUAUCAAAGAGUAGUGGAUUUGAAUUUGUCUAAUAUGAAGUUUAUGGGCUUGGAUCAUUUAAAGUAUUUUAUAAUUCUGAAAGACAAGAUUAAACUAACUAUGUAUGAUCCUUUAGCACUGUACAGAUGGUCGAUGGGACAGUUACAUGGUUUAUAUAGAUGGACCUAUCUAUAUUCCUUCAGUGGUUGAGAAAAAGGUAAAGGUGUGUCACACUCACGUGUGCGCCGCCUCUACCGAGAUGAGGCAUGGCGUUGCAAGGUGAGGCAUGGCAUGGUGCAGCACGAUCGUAUACAUGGUCGUGGCACAGUGUAGCACUGUUGUGGAUAGAUAGAUAAACUUUUGUUGUAGUUAGAGUGCAUGAGUUUUUGAAUGCAACACAAGAAUUUUCACAAUUUAACUUAAUUAAGAAGUUAUAUCUUGAUGACACAGAGUUACCUGACCAUUGAUCUCACAUGCCCUUUUAGCUCUCUCGUUCUCUAGACUCACCCUGACUAUUUAGGUCUCCUGACUCGCCAAUAUAAACACCAUCCUAUCAUUUGCUCUCGAAUACUUCUGUGUCACAACUCAACUGUCAGAUGAGUACUCCAUUACAGCACUGAGCAGGCCUCCGAAAUGAAUAUCUACUCAGAUGAAGGACGACAAUCGUGUUCUAGGGAAAUAUCGGUGACACAACUCCUUACUUCCUCCGCUUCUUCCUAGUGUUUUUUGUUGUGAUUGAGUCGACACAGCAACAACACUGCACUAUUACAACCAGUACGACUAUAUUAACUAGCAAUGUCUUCCUUAUAUGUUACUAUUUAUUUUGCUCAUAUUCAUUAUGUUUAAAUCACAUAGGCACCUUUUUGUUGGCAUCAAAAAAUUAGUAUCAACUUUCUAGAUUAAAGUGAAACUAAAAGUACCUAAAUUUCUAUCGGUGGGGAUCGAGUGAUUCUUUAAACCAAUUAUUACGCAAGUUAACCACACUAAAAUUAACAUUGGUGAACCGUGCCAUGAUUUUUUCUAAUGGAAAAUAGCCAAACCAAGCAACACAUAUGUGGCUAUCGUUACACAUGUGUAAAGGUAUUGCAUCACACCAUUGUCACCCAUGUAUUUGGACAAUACCGAGAGGAAAAACCACUUAUUUAUUGUAUUUUAUCAAGUUUGUCUUGCUUACGUAUAAAUUAUAACCCAACAAAGUAAUCACUAAAUGUCAAAACCAACUAGAUACCAUGUCAUCUCUACCUUAUCUUACUAAUAUUCUUUUUGCAAAAUCCAAAAUUAAUCUUGCACAAGCACAAGGACUGAGAUGUGUAUAAAUAUCUCUUAAAUUAGUAGCUAAUAUAUCACACAUAUUAUUGAGACCAACUAGCAACAUAGAAAGCACAAUAGUGUACCAACAAUGGCAGCUAAAAUAUUUUGCCUCCUUAUGCUCCUUGGUCUUUCUGCAAGUGCUGCUACGGCGACCAUUUUCCCACAAUGCUCACAAGCUCCUAUAGCUUCCCUUCUUCCCCCGUACCUCUCACCAACGGUGUCUUCGGUAUGUGAAAACCCAAUUCUUCAACCCUACAGGAUCCAACAGGCAAUCGCAGCUGGCAUCUUACCUUUAUCACCCUUGUUCCUCCAACAAUCAUCAGCCCUAUUACAGCAGUUACCUUUGGUGCAUUUAUUGGCACAAAACAUCAGGGCACAACAACUACAACAACUUGUGCUAGCAAACCUUGCUGCCUACUCUCAGCAACAGCAGUUUCUUCCAUUCAACCAACUAGCUGCAUUGAACUCUGCUUCUUAUUUGCAACAACAACAACUACCAUUCAGCCAGCUAUCUGCUGCCUACCCCCAGCAAUUUCUUCCAUUCAACCAACUGACAGCAUUGAACUCUCCUGCUUAUUUACAGCAGCAACAACUACUACCAUUCAGCCAGCUAGCUGGUGUGAGCCCUGCUACCUUCUUGACACAACCACAGUUGUUGCCGUUCUACCAGCACGCUGCGCCUAACGCUGGCACCCUCUUACAACUGCAACAAUUGCUGCCAUUCAACCAACUUGCUUUGACAAACCCAGCAGCAUUCUACCAACAACCCAUCAUUGGUGGUGCCCUCUUUUAGAUUUCUUAUGAGUUAUAGUUCAAUAAUAAAGUUUUUUGUCUGAUGUUUGUGGCUUCCCAGAAAUAAGAAAGUACAUUUCUAGAUUCUUAUGUGCUUCUAGUCUCCAAAUGUGGUUGAUAGUUAUUUUGCUCUAAGAUCAACAGUAAUGAAGUAUAAAUCAUCGUUGUGGUGUGCUACUCGGUUAAUUGAGCAUUAACACACACAAACAUGACGAGGAUGGUAUAAUCUCCAAAAAUGUGUACUUUGUUAGGUGGGACCCUAUAGCCUUGAUUAAUGUGCUAUGUUAGGCAUGCCUGGAAACGUGUGACGCAUAUGUUUUGUGAACCUGUUGAUAUUAUAUGUGCUUUUAUAUUACCAUAUUUUAUUAAAAUACUAAUAUUUAUUACUAGUAAGAUAUAACAUUCUAUCUAGCUUAAAAACUAACCAUAAAUAUUCCAUAAUAACUAGAUUUACCAAACUAAUAUACUAAAUAUACAUAAUAAAUACAAAAUUAACAAGACAAUAAUCAAUAUUUAUGAGCUUAAUAUAUUUAGACAUUAUGGUUGGUCGACGAUAAUCAUGCUAACUUUUCGUAAUUGCUUGAUUGUAAAUAUGCUUAGAAUAAUGCCUCUUUGUUCUACAUGGCAAAUAGGGACCAUUAUGGUGUAACACCCUGGGAACCACAAACACCCCGAAAUGCUACUAAACUACACAACUAACCUUCAUAUAUAAAAUUUCGACAGCAUCUCCUUUGAAAAUUUGCAUAGACGUGGAAGCAACAGAGUAUAAACAGAUAUCAUGAUAAGAAAACAUACUAGACAUUAAUAAUCUGCUAGAAAUGGGAAGAUAACCAUAACGACAUAAACUGAAUUAACUAGUGUGCACAACUUGUUAAAAACAAACAUCGUUGACAAGAAGUUUCUAAUUAAAUCAUGGUUGUGCCUGGGCAGCGUUAUUAUGAGAGUGAAGGUGGACGUGAUGCUACUUCCCUCAUUCCCAACAUGAAUCAAGUACCUGCAUUGAGCAAUGCAAGAGUGAGAUGAAAACAUCUCAGCAAGUAAAUUGUUUUGACGAGAUAUUUAAACCAAAAAAAUUUGAUUUACUCAACAUUUUAAAGGGAUCACAAUUGAGAUCAGAAAUACUUGUAGAUAUAGAACUCAAUAGUCCCAAAAUAACCAGUGCCAUCUCAUUUCCUCAAACAACCACAAUAGGUUGUAUAACACUUCCCUGCGUCAUCAAUACCUGCAAAUAUCACUUCAAUGUAUGCAUAGGAAUGCAAUGUUUAAGUCCUCUGCAUUCAUACUUCUUAGAGUAUAAAACCACACCAUCUGCAAAUAUCACUUCAAUGAAUGCAUAUGAAUGCAAUGCAUAUGUCCUCUGCCUUCAUACCUCUAAGGGUAUGAAGCCGAAUCGUACCCCUCCUCGGGCAACGUACGAUGCUAAGUUGUACCGGUACGGUCGGACCAUAGGUCACGACAAAACUUCAUAUGCAAGUGAAUCAUGACAUGUAUAUGGCUUGCUGCAUUUAUCAAUAUACUUCACUUCCUUCAUAUACAAUACAAACCUCAAAUAAUACUUCGUUUACCUUCAGAUACAAUACAAACCUCAAAUAAUACUUCAUUCACCUUCAGGGGUGUUUAUUAAUCUCGUGGGUCAUACUCGAAUCAUCAUCAUCAUCAAUGAUGAUUAAGCAUCAGUAUAAUACAAUCAAGUAAAGCAUCACCAUAGAGUUCAAUUAUGAAAGAAUUCGAUGAUUCUGAAUAUUAGAGUGUAUGCGAUGAAACAACAACGUCAAAACGGUAGCAACCACCGCUACAUUCAUUUGCCUUCAUCGAAGAAGAAAAAUGUACUAGGCAUGAUUCAGAGUGUAGACACCUGCUGUGGGGCUUAAAACUUAGUACAAAUAUUCCACAAACAUUUGCCAACAAUUAACAAAUCGCUCCUACACUUGAAACCAAGACCCGGUGGAAUGACUCCCACCCUGAACCACAUGCCAAACAAUAGUAGUGCUGUUUGUUAAUUUUGUAUCUUUAAAAUUAUAACAGUGGUGAUAUCAAACAAAUACUCUAGAAGUUUCUACACAAAAUACUCUACAACUUCGGUAUUCAAUGGAUAAUUAAAUUUUGCCAUCUAUAAGUUCUAAAACAUCUGAUAAGAUAACUGACUGAAUUUGUUUCAGACAGCAGCAUAGUUAACUUCAAAAUUCGAUAUCUCCCAAACUCCUCAACCAAAAAUUAUGAAAUUAUGCUGACAGUAAGAACUUUUUGUCCCUCUACAAAAGUAUCUAUAGUUGGAAGAGCCAAUUCGGCCAUUUACUAGAUGAAACCUACCAGUUAACAGACCCGCUCAUUUUUGUCAGGCAAACAAGAACCCUUAUAUAUCAAAGAGUAGUGGAUUUGAAUUUGUCUAAUAUGAAGUUUAUGGGCUUGGAUCAUUUAAAGUAUUUUAUAAUUCUGAAAGACAAGAUUAAACUAACUAUGUAUGAUCCUUUAGCACCGUACAGAUGGUCGAUGGGACAGUUACAUGGUUUAUAUAGAUGGACCUAUCUAUAUUCCUUCAGUGGUUGAGAAAAAGGUAAAGGUGUGUCACACUCACGUGUGCGCCGCCUCUGCCGAGAUGAGGCAUGGCGUUGCAAGGUGAGGCAUGGCAUGGUGCAGCACGAUCGCAGUCAUGGUCGUGGCACAGUGUAGCACUGUUGUGGAUAGAUAGAUAAACUAUUGUUGUAGUUAGAGUGCAUGAGUUUUUGAAUGCAACACUAGGAUUUUCACAAUUUAACUUAAUUAAGAAGUUAUAUCUUGAUGACACAGAGUUACCUGACCAUUGAUCUCACAUGCCCUUUUAGCUCUCUUGUUCUCUAGACUCACCCUGACUAUUGAGGUCUCUUGACUCGCCAAUAUAAACACCAUCCUAUCAUUUGCUCUCGAAUACUUUUGUGUCACAACUCAACUGUCAGAUGAGUACUCCAUUACAGCACUGAGCAGGCCUCCGAAAUGAAUAUCUACUCAGAUGAAGGACGACAAUCGUGUUCUAGGGAAAUAUCAGUGACACAACUCCUUACUUCCUCUGCUUCUUCCUAGUGUUUUUUGUUGUGAUUGAGUCGACACAGCAACAACACUGCACUAUUACAACCAGUACGACUAUAUUAACUAGCAAUGUCUUCCUUAUAUGUUACUAUUUAUUUUGCUCAUAUUCAUUAUGUUUAAAUCACAUAGGCACCUUUUUGUUGGCAUCAAAAAAUUAGUAUCAACUUUCUAGAUUAAAGUGAAACUAAAAGUACCUAAAUUUCUAUCGGUGGGGAUCGAGUGAUUCUUUAAACCGAUUAUUACACAAGUGAACCACACUAAAAUUAACAUUGGUGAAUCGUGCCAUGAUUUUUUCUAGUGGAAAAUAGCCAAACCAAGCAACACAUAUGUGGCUAUCGUUACACAUGUGUAAAGGUAUUGCAUCACACCAUUGUCACCCAUGUAUUUGGACAAUACCGAGAGGAAAAACCACUUAUUUAUUGUAUUUUAUCAAGUUUGUCUUGCUUACGUAUAAAUUAUAACCCAACAAAGUAAUCACUAAAUGUCAAAACCAACUAGAUACCAUGUCAUCUCUACCUUAUCUUACUAAUAUUCUUUUUGCAAAAUCCAAAAUUAAUCUUGCACAAGCACAAGGACUGAGAUGUGUAUAAAUAUCUCUUAAAUUAGUAGCUAAUAUAUCACACAUAUUAUUGAGACCAACUAGCAACAUAGAAAGCACAAUAGUGUACCAACAAUGGCAGCCAAAAUAUUUUGCCUCCUUAUGCUCCUUGGUCUUUCUGCAAGUGCUGCUACGGCGACCAUUUUCCCACAAUGCUCACAAGCUCCUAUAGCUUCCCUUCUUCCCCCGUACCUCUCACCAGCGGUGUCUUCGGUAUGUGAAAACCCAAUUCUUCAACCCUAUAGGAUCCAACAGGCAAUCGCAGCUGGCAUCUUACCUUUAUCACCCUUGUUCCUCCAACAAUCAUCAGCCCUAUUACAGCAGUUACCUUUGGUGCAUUUAUUGGCACAAAACAUCAGGGCACAACAACUACAACAACUUGUGCUAGCAAACCUUGCUGCCUACUCUCAGCAACAACAGUUUCUUCCAUUCAACCAACUAGCUGCAUUGAACUCUGCUUCUUAUUUGCAACAACAACAACUACCAUUCAGCCAGCUAUCUGCUGCCUACCCCCAGCAAUUUCUUCCAUUCAACCAACUGACAGCUUUGAACUCUCCUGCUUAUUUACAGCAGCAACAACUACUACCAUUCAGCCAGCUAGCUGGUGUGAGCCCUGCUACCUUCUUGACACAACCACAAUUGUUGCCGUUCUACCAGCACGCUGCGCCUAACGCUGGCACCCUCUUACAACUGCAACAAUUGCUGCCAUUCAACCAACUUGCUUUGACAAACCCAACAGCAUUCUACCAACAACCCAUCAUUGGUGGUGCCCUCUUUUAGAUUUCUUAUGAGUUAUAGUUCAAUAAUAAAGUUUUUUGUCUGAUGUUUGUGGCUUCCCAGAAAUAAGAAAGUACAUUUCUAGAUUCUUAUGUGCUUCUAGUCUCCAAAUGUGGUUGAUAGUUAUUUUGCUCUAAGAUUAGCAGUAAUGAAGUAUAAAUCAUCGUUGUGGUGUGCUACUCGGUUAAUUGAGCAUUAACACACACAAACAUGACGAGGAUGGUAUAAUCUCCAAAAAUGUGUACUUUGUUAGGUGGGACCCUAUAGCCUUGCAGAAUGUGCUACGUUAGGCAUGCCAAUGGAAACGUGUGACACAUACGUUUUGUGAAUCUGUUGAUAUUAUAUGUGCUUUUAUAUUACCAUAUUUUAUUAAAAUACUAAUAUUUAUUACUAGUAAGAUAUAACAUUCUAUCUAGCUUAAAAACUAACCAUAAAUAUUCCAUAAUAACUAGAUUUACCAAACUAAUAUACUAAAUAUACAUAAUAAAUAUAAAAUUAACAAGACAAUAAUUAAUAUUUAUGAGCUUAAUUUAUUUAGACAUUAUGGUUGGUCGACGAUAAUCAUGCUAACUUUCCGUAAUUGCUUGAUUGUAAAUAUGCUUAGAAUAAUGCCUCUUUGUUCUACAUGGCAAAUAGGGACCAUUAUGGUGUAACACCCCGGGAUCCACAAACACCCCGAAAUGCUACUAAACUACACAACUAACCUUCAUAUAUAAAAUUUCGACAGCAUCUCCUUUGAAAAUUUGCAUAAACGUGGAAGCAACAGAGUAUAAACAGAUAUCAUGAUAAGGAAACAUACUAGACAUUAAUAAUCUGCUAGAAAUGGGAAGAUAACCAUAACGACAUAAACUGAAUUAACUAGUGUGCACAACUUGUUAAAAACAAACAUCGUUGACAAGAAGUUUCUAAUUAAAUCAUGGUUGUGCCUGGGCAGCGUUAUUAUGAGAGUGAAGGUGGACGUGAUGCUACUUCCCUCAUUCCCAACAUGAAUCAAGUACCUGCAUUGAGUAAUGCAAGAGUGAGAUGAAAACAUCUCAGCAAGUAAAUUGUUUUGACGAGAUAUUUAAACCAAAAAAAUUGAUUUAAUCAACAUUUUAAAGGGAUCACAAUUGAGAUCAGAAAUACUUGUAGAUAUAGAACUCAAUAGUCCCAAAAUAACCAAUGCCAUCUCAUUUCCUCAAACAACCACAAUAGGUUGUAUAACACUUCCCUGCGUCAUCAAUACCUGCAAAUAUCACUUCAAUGUAUGCAUAGGAAUGCAAUGUUUAAGUCCUCUGCAUUCAUACUUCUUAGAGUAUAAAACCACACCAUCUGCAAAUAUCACUUCAAUGAAUGCAUAUGAAUGCAAUGCAUAUGUCCUCUGCCUUCAUACCUCUAAGGGUAUGAAGCCGCAUCGUACCCCUCCUCGGGCAACGUACGAUGCUAAGUUGUACCGGUACGGUCGGACCAUAGGUCACGACAAAACUUCAGAUGCAAGUGAAUCAUGACAUGUAUAUGGCAUGCUGCAUUUAUCAAUAUACUUCACUUCCUUCAUAUACAAUACAAACCUAAAAUAAUACUUCGUUUACCUUCAGAUACAAUACAAACCUCAAAUAAUACUUCAUUCACCUUCAGGGGUGUUUAUUAAUCUCGUGGGUCAUACUCAAAUCAUCAUCAUCAUCAAUGAUGUUUAAGCAUCAGUAUAAUACAAUCAAGUAAAGCAUCACCAUAGAGUUCAAUUAUGAAAGAAUUCGAUGAUUCUGAAUAUUAGAGUGUAUGCGAUGAAACAACAAAGUCAAAACGGUAGCAACCACCUCUACAUUCACUUGCCUUCAUCGAAGAAGAAAAAGGUACUAGGCAUGAUUCGGAGUGUAGACACCUGCUGUGGGGCUUAAAACUUAGUACAAAUAUUCCAUAAACAUUUGCCAACAAUUAACAAAUCGCUCCUACACUUGAAACCAAGACCCGGUGGAAUGACUCCCACCCUGAACCACAUGCCAAACAACAAUAGUGUUGUUUGUUAAUUUCUAUCUUUAAAAUUAUAACAGUGGUGAUAUCAAACAAAUACUCUAUACGUUUCUACACAAAAUACUCUACAACUUCGGUAUUCAAUGGAUAAUUAAAUUUUGCCAUCUAUAAGUUCUAAAACAUCUGACAAGAUAACUGACUGAAUCUGUUUCAGACAACAGCAUAGUUAACUUCAAAAUUCGAUAUCUCCCUAACUCCUCAACAAAAAAUUAUGAAAUUAUGCUGACAGUAAGAACUUUUAUCCCUCUACAAAAGUCUCCAUAGUUGAAAGAGCCAAUUCGGCCAUUUACUAGAUGAAACCUACCAGUUAACGGACCCGCUCAUUUUUGUCAAGCAAACAAGAACCCUUAUAUAUCAAAGAGUAGUGGAUUUGAAUUUGUCUAAUAUGAAGUUUACGGGCUUGGCUCAUUUAAAGUAUUUAAUAAUUCUGAAAGACAAGAUUAAACUAACUAUGUAUGAUCCUUUAGCACCGUACAGAUGGUCGAUGGGACAGUUACAUGGUUUAUAUAGAUGGACCUAUCUAUAUUCCUUCAGUGGUUGAGAAAAAAGUAAAGGUGUGUCACACUCACGUGUGCGCCGCCUCCGCCGAGACGAGGCAUGGCGUUGCAAGGUGAGGCAUGGCAUGGUGUAGCACGAUAGCAGUCAUGGUCGUGGCACAGUGUAGCACUGUUGUGGAUAGAUAGGUAAACUAUUGUUGUAGUUAGAGUGCAUGAGUUUUUGAAUGCAACACUAGAAUUUUCACAAUUUAACUUAAUUAAGAAGUUAUAUCUUGAUGACACAGAGUUACCUGACCAUUGAUCUCACAUGCCCUUUUAGCUCUCUCGUUCUCUAGACUCACCCUGACUAUUUAAGUCUCUUGACUCGCCAAUAUAAACACCAUCCUAUCAUUUGCUCUAGAAUACUUCUGUGUCACAACUCAACUGUCAGAUGAGUACUCCAUUACAGCACUUACGUACACGAGUUCUAUGAGAGCAGGCCUCCAAAAUGAAUAUCUACUUAGAUGAAGGACGACAAUCGUGUUCUAGGGAAAUAUCAGCGACACAACUCCUUACUUCCUUCGCUUCUUCCUAGUGUUUUUUGUUGUGAUUGAGUCGACACAGCAACAACACUGCACUAUUACAACCAGUACGACUAUAUCAACUAGCAAUGUCUUCCUUAUAUGUUACUAUUUAUUUUGCACAUAUUCAUUAUGUUUAAAUCACAUAGGCACCUUUCUAUUGGCAUCAAAAAAUUAGUAUCAACUUUCUAGAUUAAAAUGAAACUAAAAGUACAUAAAUUUCUAUCGGUGGGGAUCGAGUGAUUCUUUAAACCGAUUAUUACACAAGUUAACCACACUAAAAUUAACAUUGGUGAAUCGUGCCAUGAUUUUUUUUCUAGUGGAAAAUAGCCAAACCAAGCAACACAUAUGUGGCUAUCGUUACACAUGUGUAAAGGUAUUGCAUCACACUAUUGUCACCCAUGUAUUUGGACAAUACCGAGAGGAAAAACCACUUAUUUAUUGUAUUUUAUCAAGUUUGUCUUGCUUACGUAUAAAAUUAUAACCCAACAAAGUAAUCACUAAACGUCAAAACCAACUAGAUAUCAUGUCAUCUCUACCUUAUCUUACUAAUAUUCUUUUUGCAAAAUCCAAAAUUAAUCUUGCACAAGCACAAGGACUGAGAUGUGUAUAAAUAUCUCUUAAAUUAGUAGCUAAUAUAUCGCACAUAUUAUUUAGACCAACUAGCAACAUAGAAAGCACAAUAGUGUACCAACAAUGGCAGCCAAAAUAUUUUGCCUCCUUAUGCUCCUUGGUAUUUCUGCAAGUGCUGCUACGGCGACCAUUUUCCCGCAAUGCUCACAAGCUCCUAUAGCUUCCCUUCUUCCCCCGUACCUCUCACCAGCGGUGUCUUCGGUAUGUGAAAACCCAAUUCUUCAACCCUACAGGAUCCAACAGGCAAUCGCAGCUGGCAUCUUACCUUUAUCACCCUUGUUCCUCCAACAAUCAUCAGCCCUAUUACAGCAGUUACCUUUGGUGCAUUUAUUGGCACAAAACAUCAGGGCACAACAACUACAACAACUUGUGCUAGCAAACCUUGCUGCCUACUCUCAGCAACAGCAGUUUCUUCCAUUCAACCAACUAGCUGCAUUGAACUCUGCUUCUUAUUUGCAACAACAACAACUACCAUUCAGCCAGCUACCUGUUGCCUACCCCCAGCAAUUUCUUCCAUUCAACCAACUGGCAGCAUUGAACUCUCCUGCUUAUUUACAGCAGCAACAACUACUACCAUUCAGCCAGCUAGCUGGUGUGAGCCCUGCUACCUUCUUGACACAACCACAGUUGUUGCCGUUCUACCAGCACGCUGCGCCUAACGCUGGCACCCUCUUACAACUGCAACAAUUGCUGCCAUUCAACCAACUUGCUUUGACAAACCUAGCAGUGUUCUACCAACAACCCAUCAUUGGUGGUGCCCUCUUUUAGAUUUCUUAUGAGUUAUAGUUCAAUAAUAAAGUUUUUUGUCUGAUGUUUGUGGCUUCCCAGAAAUAAGAAAGUACAUUUCUAGAUUCUUAUGUGCUUCUAGUCUCCAAAUGUGGUUGAUAGUUAUUUUGCUCUAAGAUCAGCAGUACAACAACAACAACAACAACAACAACAACAACAACAAAGCCUUUUUGUCCCAAGCACGUUGGGGUAGGCUAGAGAUGAAACCCCGUAUGAAAACCUCAGAGCUCAACCCCCAAAGAACAGAAAAGGGAAACAAAGGCAAAGGAGAACCGAAAACAACGAAACGGGGAAACACAUAAAAGAGAUAAAACCCACAAGGACCAGCAAGAUCUAAAAUGGACACAAGAAAAGGUCAAACGAUUAAGGAGGAAAAGCGAAACUAUCAAUCAGGGUUCUGGCACGUGAAUUGCACACUUCCACCCCUUCCUAUCUGCGGCGAGCUCUUUGUCAAUAUUCCACUCCUUCAGGUCUCUCUUCACAGCCUCUGUCCACGUCAAAGUUGGUCGACCUCUACCUCUCUUCACAUUUUCGGGACGCCUAAUUAUUCCGAUAUGCACUGGUGCCUCUUCAGGUCUUCGUUGGAUAUGUCCAAACCAUCUCAAGCGAUGUUGCAUAAGCUUCUCCUCAAUUGGCGCCACUCCUACUCUCUCUCGUAUAUCAUCAUUCCGGACUCGAUCUCUCCUUGUGUGGCCACAUAUCCAGCGCAACAUACGCAUCUCUGCCACACUUAGUUGUUGGACAUGUCGUCUUUUAGUGGGCCAACAUUCUGCUCCAUACAACAUAGCCGGCCGGAUUGCUGUCCUGUAGAAUUUGCCUUUUAGUUUGCGUGGCACCCGGUGGUCGCAUAAGACACCCGCAGCUUGUCGCCACUUCAACCAUCCGGCUUUAAUUCUAUGACUGACAUCCUCAUCGAUGUCUCCCUCCUUUUGAAGCAUUGAUCCUAAGUAACGAAAAGUGUCUUUCUUGGGUACCACUUGCCCAUCAAGACUAACAUCGCCAUCCUCAUACCCCAUGGCACUGAAAUCACACUUCAUAUACUCUGUUUUAGACCUACUAAGCCUAAAACCUUUUGCUUCCAGCGUCUGCCUCCACAAUUCCAACUUUUGAGAAACACCACUCCUACUCUCCUCAAUAAGUACCACAUCAUCGGCAAAAAGCAUACACCACGGUAAAACUCCUUGUAUGUCCCUUGUGACCUCAUCUAUCACCAAAGCGAAAAGAUAAGGGCUCAAAGCCGACCCUUGAUGUAGUCCUAUGUUAAUUGGAAAGUCAUCGGUGUCUCCAUCACUUGUUCGGACACUUGUCACAACAUUAGUGUACAUAUCUUUAAUAAGAUUAAUGUACUUUGUUGCUACUUUGUGUUUUUCCAAGGCCCACCACAUUACACUCCUAGGUACUUUGUCAUAAGCCUUCUCCAAGUCUAUGAAGACCAUAUGCAGGUCUUUCUUUUGUUCUCUGAAUCUCUCCAUAAGUUGUCUUAGUAAGAAAAUGGCCUCCAUAGUUGAUCUCCCGGGCAUGAAACCAAACUGAUUUUGGGUCACGCUCGUCAUCUUUCGCAGGCGGUGUUCAAUGACUCUCUCCCAUAGCUUCAUUGUAUGGCUCAUGAGCUUAAUUCCACGGUAAUUAGUACAACUUUGAACAUCUCCUUUGUUCUUGAAGAUUGGUACUAAUGUACUCCGCCGCCACUCGUCGGGCAUUCUGUUUGCCCGAAAGAUGGUGUUGAAAAGCUUAGUCAGCCAUACUAUCGCUAUGUCUCCAAGACAUCUCCAUACCUCGAUAGGGAUACCAUCAGGGCCCAUCGCCUUUCCUACCUUCAUCCUUUUUAGCGCCUCCUUAACUUCAUAUUCUUGUAUCCUUCGUACAAAACCCCUGUUGUUGUCAUCGAAUGGUUCGUCCAAUUCUAUUGUAGCACUCUCAUUCCCUCCAUUGAACAAUUUGUUGAAGUACUCCUUCCAUCUGUUCUUGAUCUCUUCACUCUUCACUAAUAGUUGGUUUGCUUCGUCCUUGAUGCAUUUGACUUGGUUGACAUCCCUUGUCUUCCUUUCACGAAUCUUGGCCAUCCUAUAGAUAUCCUUUUCUCCCUGCUUUGUGUCCAGCCGUUGAUAAAGGUCGUCAUAGGCUUGACCCCGGGCUCUACUAACCGCUCGCUUUGCAGACUUCUUCGCUAUCCUGUACUUCUCUAUGUUUUCUGCACACUUGUCAUGAUGUAAGCGUUUGUAGCAAUCUUUCUUCUCCUUGAUAGCCUUUUGGACAUCUUCGUUCCACCACCAAGUGUCUUUAACUUCCCUUCUGUUCCCUUGACUCAACCCAAACUCUUCUGAAGCUAUCUUUCGGAUGCAUGUCGCCAUCUUCCUCCACAUGAUAUUUGCGUCUUCCUCUCCUGCCCAAGGGCCCUCCUCGAUAACUCUCUUCUUGAAAGUUUGGGCCACAUCCCCUUUAAGCUUCCACCACUUUGUUCUAGUGACCUUGUUAUGCUUAUUUCGUUGUAAACGAAUCUUAAAACGGAAGUCAGCAACGACAAGCUUAUGUUGGGUUACCACACACUCUCCAGGUAUAACCUUGCAAUCUAAGCAGGCAUGCCUGUCCUCUUUUCUCAAGAGGACGAAAUCAAUCUGGCUAGUGUGUUGGCCACUACUGAAGGUCACCAGGUGGGAUUGCCUCUUCUUAAAGAAAGUGUUUGCUAUAAACAUGUCAUAGGCUAGGGCAAAGUUCAGGAUUUCCUCUCCUUCUUGAUUCCUAGUCCCAAAGCCGAAGCCUCCAUGUACACCCUCGAAACUGGUGCUAGAUGUACCCACAUGGCCAUUGAGAUCUCCUCCUAUGAAGAGCUUCUCGCCAACUGGCACACUACUAACCAUGUCCUCUAGGCCUUCCCAGAACUCUCUCUUUGAGUUCUCAUUAAGGCCUACUUGAGGAGCAUACGCGCUGAUAACAUUGAGAACCAAGUCUCCAAUGACCAGCUUGACUAGGAUGAUUCUAUCUCCUACCCUCUUAACAUCUACUACCCCAUCUUUGAGGCUCUUGUCGAUCAAGACGCCUACUCCAUUCUUGUUUGUUGCAGUCCCCGUGUACCACAACUUGAAACCUGUACCUUUCACUUCCUUCGCCUUCUGUCCCUUCCACUUGGUCUCUUGAACGCAUAAAAUAUUUACCCGUCUCCUCACCGCAACGUCAACUAUUUCUCGUAACUUACCUGUUAAGGAACCUACGUUCCAACUGCCUACACGGACCCUAGUUGGCUCGACUAGCUUCCUUACCCUUCGCACCCGCCGAGGAAGAUGCAAAGACCCUUGCUCAUUUUUCACUACACCCGGGCGCCGAUGUAGCGCGCCACUAAGGAUGCGACGACCCGAUCCUUGCUCACUUAUCACCGGCUCCAGAUCAAGAGACAGCGCGUCACUUGAGGGGUGACGACCCGGCCCUUGCUCAUUUAACACCAUACCCGGGUUCCGAUAUGGCGCGUCGCUAAGAGGGUUACGCCCCAACGGUUUUCUUUGUGGUUUCAUCUCCAUAAGAUUUGGCUGGUUUUUUACGUUGGUUUGCCGGACCUAACACAACCCUCCUCCUUUACCGGGCUUGGGACCGGCUAUGUUGAAACGACUCAAGGAAGUCUUCCAAUCAACAUAGGCGGAGUUUAAGAUCAGCAGUAAUGAAGUAUAAAUCAUCGUUGUGGUGUGCUACUCGGUUAAUUGAGCAUUAACACACACAAACAUGACGAGGAUGGUAUAAUCUCCCAAAAUGUGUACUUUGUUAGGUGGGACCCUAUAGCCUUGCAGAAUGUGCUACGUUAGGCAUGCCGAUGGAAACGUGUGACGCAUACGUUUUGUGAACCUGUUGAUAUUAUAUGUGCUUUUAUAUUACCAUAUUUUAUUAAAACACUAAUAUUUAUUACUAGUAAGAUAUAACAUUCUAUCUAGCUUAAAAACUAACCAUAAAUAUUCCAUAAUAACUAGAUUUACCAAACUAAUAUACUAAAUAUACAUAAUAAAUACAAAAUUAACAAGACAAUAAUCAAUAUUUAUGAGCUUAAUAUAUUUAGACAUUAUGGUUGGUCGACGAUAAUCAUGCUAACUUUCCGUAAUUGCUUGAUUGUAAAUAUGCUUAGACUAAUGCCUCUUUGUUCUACAUGGCAAAUAGGGACCACUCUAGGAGACUAGGAUGUUGCUUGAGAUGAAAAUGUCAGAAUUGGUGUAGACUAAUUUCUAUCGGCCGCUGACUUCACUAUUGUAACCAUUAUAUCUUGGGUAAAUUAUAUACGAUUAUCCAGCCAAAGGGCCCAGAUGAUAAAAAACAAUUUUUAAUUGCUAUUUUAGGACAAAUGAAUUAGCAUGGUUCGAAGGAUUACGACCUUCCCCCCAUGACCUUUGUCAUACUGCUUUAGUCUAAUCGACAAAACCAAGAUUAGUUAUCAUCGAAGAAGUUCAUAAGCGAAGUUGUGACGAUGAAAGGAACAUGGUGGUAAUUGGACGAACGACGACACCUUUGUCUAAGAAUGGCAUCUAGAAGAAAUCUCAGACAAAAUAAGACAUGAAUGGCUUGUCAGUACAGCGCAAAUACUGAAACAUGCGCCCUUGAAUAUGAAACAUUUAUAUGUAAGAGGAAGGGAUAAAAAAACUAAUUACUCGUGCCUAAUGAUUUUAUUGGGAAUUUUAAGGCGAGACUUAUGGCAAAGGGUUAUACCAAAAAUAGGGGAGAGAUUAUUUCGAUACUUAUUCACUUGUUUCCCUUCAAAUGGCCAUACAUGUGUUACUUUUUUUGGCUGCCUCGCAUGGUCUUAUCGUUCAUCAGAUGAAUGUUAAGACUGCUUUCCCAAAUGGAGAGCUUAAGGAACAGAUCUACAUUGACUAGCCUAGUGGUUUUAUAUCAAAUGGUAAAGAGGAAAAGGUGUUUAAAAUAAUUGUUUGGUUUAAAACAAGCACCAAAGCACAUGAGAAAAUCGAUAAAGUUCUGACUUUGGCUAAAUUUGUUGUAAAUGAAGUUGAUAAAUGUGUCCAUUACCAGUUUGACAGGGGCGAAGGUAUGACCUUUUUAUAUGUGGACAAAAUAUUAACCUUUUGUAACGAUGUUAAUAUGAUAGAAGAAGUAAAGUAAUUUUUGUCUAGUAACUUAGAAAUAAACAAUCUGGGAGAGGCUAAUGUUGUUCUUAACAAAGAGAUGUUGAGAGAAGGAGGAAAUAGAGGGUUACUCUUGUGCAAUCCUAUUAGGUUGAAAAGUCGCUGAGUCGCUUUGGAUAUAGUGAUUACACGUCUGGUCCAACAACUUAUGACCCAAGUGUGUUAUUAAGGAAAAAUCAUAUAAUUGCAUAUGAUCAAUUGAGAUAUUGUCAAAUCAUGGUCUUCUCAUAUAUUUGGCAAGCCCAACGAUGUCUCAUAUCUGAUUUGUUAUGAGCAAACUCAGUUGCCUUGUCUCCAAUCUAGGGGAGGAUCAUGACAUGCCCUAGAGAGGGUAUUGCGCUUUCUCAAAGGGAUAUGAGUAAUGUCAUUUACUAUACUAGGCACCUAAGAGUACCAGAGUGUUAUAGUCAUGCAAAUAGGAUAUCUGAUGUUGAUUAGAUUUAUGCCACAAGUAGACUUGUGUGCUUCCUUGGAGGUGUGAUUGUUUCAUGGAAGUCUUGUAAGUAGACCAUCUUAACAAGGUCAACAAUAGAAGUAGAACUCACAACAUUAUAUACUACCAAAGUUGAAGUUGAUUGGCUCCGUGAACUCCUUACGGAUUUACCAGUAGUUGAAAAACCAAUACUGGUUAUCUCUAUGAGCUACAAUAAUCAAACAUUUGUAAUCGAAGUAAACAGUUCUAAAGUUAACAUGAUGUCUACAAAGCAUGUAAAAAUGGUUGAAACUGUUAAAACACUAAGAAACUCUAGAUUAAUUAUGUUGGACUAUAUCCAUACAUCGAAUUUGGUAUGCCAGUUUACAGAAGAUUUGUCACAUAAUAUGAUUCAAGGUGCAUCGAGGAAUAUGGGCUUGAGACCCACUUAAUGUCAAUCCAUAGUGGUAGCAGUUUCUAUGUGAUUGGAGAUCCCAUAAAGUAGAAUGGUGAAACAAGCUAGAGAAUGACUGAUGGAGAGACUCCUUAAAUAAAAUCUUGAUAAUUUGAGAUGCACAUUUCUCAUUUGAUGUAUUGUAGGCGAACUAAAAUCUUAAUAUGAUUUGAGUGACUUAUCUAAGCAGGGAUGUUAUCUUACAGAACAUCCUAGAAAGAACACACCUAUAUGAGUUUGCAUGUUAGUCAUAGUCUAUCAUGUGUGGUAAUCUUUAUAUACUCAUGAAAGGCUUGAAGUUUGACUUAUAUGCUUCAAACCAAGGGGGUGCUUGUAACAGUCUAGUACAAGAUAAGAACAUUGGUAAAACUCACUUAACGCAAAAUUGUCAAUUUAAGGCAUAGUUCAUUGUUUAGAUGUGAAUGUGUAAUCCCUGUUCUAGAUGGAUGGUCAACUUAACAGCCUCCACCAAAACCCUGAUAUCUCAAAGAGUAGUGGAUUUGAGUUUGUCUAAUAUGUGGUUUAGAUUUUGGUGGGGAAUUUUAAUAUUUUAUGGGCUUGGCCCAUUUAAGGUAUUUAAUACUUUCAAAAGACAAGAUUAAACAUGUGUGAAUAGUGUCAUGAUUUUUUUCUAGUGCAAAAUAGCCCAACAAAUCAACACAUAUGUGGCUAUCAUUACACAUGUGUAAAGGUAAUGCAUCACACCAUUGUCACCCAUGUAUUUAGAAAAUACCAAGAAGAAAAACAACUUGUUUAUUGUAUUUUAUGGAGAUUAUCUUGCUUACAUAUAAUUAUAACCCAACAAAGUGGUCACUAAAUGUCAAAACCAACUAGGUACCAGGUCAUCUCUAGCUUAUCUUGCUAAUGAUAUUUUUGCAAAAUCCAAAAUUAAUCUUGCACAAGCACAAGGACUGAGAUGUGUAUAAAAAUCUCUUAGAUUAGUAGGUAAUCCAUCACACAAAGCGCAAUAGUGUAGCAAAACUGGCAGUCAAAAUAUUUUGCCUCCUUAUGCUCCUUGCUCUUUCUGCAAGUGCUGCUAACGCGACCAAUUUUCUGCAAUGCUCACAAGAUCCAAUUGCUUCCCUUCUUCCCUCAUACCUCUCACCAGCGACAUCUUCAGUAUGUGAAAACCCAAUUCUUCAACCCUAUAGGAUCCAACAGGCAAUCACAGCAAGCAUCUUACCUUUAUCACCCUUGUUCCUCCAACAACCGCCAGCCCUGUUACAACAAUUACCUUUGGUGCAUUUGUUGGAACAAAGCAUCAAGGCACAACAACUACAACAACCUGUGCUGACAAACCUUGUUGCCUACUCUCAGCAACAAUAGUUUCUUCCAUUCAACCAACUGGCUGCACUGAACUCUGCUGCUUAUUUGCAACAACAACAACAACUUCCAUUCACCCAGCUAGCUGCUGCCUACCCCCAACAAUUUCUUCCAUUCGACUAACUGGCUGCAUUGAACUCUGUUGCUUAUUUACAACAGCAACAACUAAUACCAUGAAACCAGCUAGCUGUUGCGAGCCCUGCUACCUUCUUGACACAACCACAGUUGAUGUCGUUCUACCUGCAAGCUGUGGCUAACGUCGGCACCCUCUUACAACUACAACAAUUGUUGCCAUUCAUCCAACUUGCUUUGACAAAC